This 52881-nucleotide long non-coding RNA is filed under the name Phaseolus vulgaris (common bean). Its description in RNAcentral is "long non-coding RNA (PVUL_LNC003696)". The record is from RNAcentral. Lineage: Eukaryota; Viridiplantae; Streptophyta; Magnoliopsida; Fabales; Fabaceae.
UUUUUUUUUUUUAUGUGAUACUUUUUGUUGGAGACGUAUGAAGAUUAUGGAAUUAACUCAUAUUAAGUUAAGUUUGGAGUUUAGAUAAAGUAUUUUGAGUUGAAGUAAUUUAAAACAAUUGUAGUGUGUAAGAAAAUUGAUGUUUUGGAUAAGUAAAAUCAUAUUUUAAUUGGUAAAAUGAUAAUUUCAAAACAAAACUAAAUGUAAGUUUUCUAUCAUGUACUUAUAUCAUAUUUGAACUUUUGACAUUUAUUUUAAGUUAUGAGUAACUAUUGCACGCACCACUCAAUCUCCCUUAAGUAUCAUCAUGAAUGUUCAAUCGACCGUUAAAGUUUAUGACUGAUGUUUGAGCGAGAUUAAUGUCGAGAUAAUUUUGUCUUCUAUGUGAAUGAGAGAUAUUGAAACAAUUGUUUCCUUCAAGUGAUAAAUUGAUUGCUCAAGCAUUAUGUAAGCAAUGAUACAUGAUGUUUCUAAAACUUGUUGUAUUAUAGGAGUAUUCUUGGUGAAUGAUUGAUGUGAUGCUUAAUCAAUAAAAACGGAUUAAAAAAAAAUGACAUAUUAAUUUUUUUUUUCUAAAAUUAAUAUCACUCGAGAUAUAUGUAAGAUUGCUCAAACAAAUUUUUCAACAUUUAAAAAAAUAAGAUCAAACUAACUUCAUAGGAGAUUAUAUUAAAUUGGCGAAUAUAUGUAUUAUAUAAGACAACAUAUAUAAUUUUAUUAUGAGUGAGUGUGUGUGGCAAGAGAUAUGUUAAGCAUAAAUUACAAUUGAUAGCUUCUUAUAAAAGUAAUGAAUUUCUUCAUUUAUAAUUUUUAAUAUUUUUUAUUGAUUAAAUAAUACUAAUAUUUGAGGAAGCCCUUUAAAAAAUGGUAUGGGUAAAAUUAUGCUUUUAGUAGUAUGUUGAAUGCACUCAAUUAAAUUUUUCUACCAAUUAACUUACUAAAAUAAUUUUUUUCUUGAGAUUAUCAAUGACAAUGGCAAGUUAUAUGUUCUUUUAAUCUGUAAAUUUUAAAAUUAAAUCAUCUUCUUCUAAUUUAAAUAAACAAAUUCUAUUUGUUUCUGGAAUAAAUAUUUUUUGAAAAUUUUGAUUAUUUUAAGUUUAAACAAACUAAUCAAAUAGGCCACUUAAGAGAGAAAAAAAAAUCAACAGAAUAGUCUUAUCUGAAUAUUUUUAUUUUUGGUAAUUAAAAUUAUUUUGAAAUAUAGCUUUUAAAAUAGUUAUCAAUGUGUAAUUGGAUUUUUGAUUUCCUUGUUAAAUUAUUAUUAUUAUUUUUAUUAUAAUUAAAUUUUAAAGAGAAAGGAAGAAGAAAGAAUUCUACUAUGGAAUGAAACGAGUCGUUUAGAUCUGAUCAAAGUCUUCAUCUUCUUUCUCUCUUUGUUUGUUUAGGUUUCGCAGAGCUUCCUUCAGCGCAUUUUUCCGACCCAUUUACCUCAUUUCACUCUUUCAACCACAACGACGCCGUUCAAGCCUUCCAAAUUCCAAAUUCAAACUCAUUGAAUCGUAUCCUAUCAUAUCGUAUCGUAUCAUCAUAUCGCGUCGCACGAUAUAUCGGUUCCUUUGCUUCCUUCUGAAUUCCCAUUGAUCGAUCGCAAUUGAGAGAUGGGAAAAGCGAGGGACAGAACCGAGGAUUUCAAAGAUGCCGUGCGCCACACUGCUCACUCUUUGGGCUACGACGAGGUUUUGUCAUCUUCAUAAUUUACAAUUUUCUUAUCUUCAUAAUUCAAAUCGCUAACGUUUCUUGUGUGUGAAAAUGCCACGUUUGGGUUUGGCUGAUUAGGGUUUAUGAACACGUGUUAAUUGUGAUUGGUUAUUGGUUAUUGGUUUCACCAUUGAAUUGUUCCUAAUCUCACCGUGAUUGAAUUCGUUUGGCAGGCUAAAUUGGCGUCCAUCAUGGCAUCUUUCAUUAUUCAUAAACCUCCGCAAAGGUCUCCGUUUUCCAAAGCCGCAUUGAAGACGGUAGACUCGGAUUUCAAAUUGUUCUUUUAUAGUGAGCUAUGAUUAGUUUAUUCAUGUUUGUAGUGGUUGUGUUGUGCUAAUUUUUUUGUGACGUGACAUUUUUUCUUGGUCUUUGUUUUUAGCUGGAGAGUAUUGGAGAGCUGGACCAGUUUUUGUUGAAGCAUAGAAAGGACUAUACGGAUCUGCAUCGCACCACAGAAAAGGAAAGAGAUGGCAUCGAACACGAAGUAAGCUGGGGUUCUAGUUUUAGGAGUAUUCUGGUGUCACAUUUGAUGAUUGGAAAAUAGUACUUGUUGGCAAAAAUAUGGUGUUUCGCCUUGGGCAUGAUUUUUAUGCUUGUUCUUGGCUGCAUUGAUGAUUUAGAGCUUUCUCACCACUGUGUUGUUCAUGAUAAGACAUGAGUUAGUUUACUUAGCUGUGAAGUCUUUUCCUGUAUACAUGUUGUCUAGGGGAAGAAACAGCCAAUAGAAAGAGAAAUUAGCAAUAGCAAGAAAGUGAUCAAGAAGCGAGUGAUAGAUAGAAGAGAUUACGAUAUAUAUGCAAUUCGAUUAUGGUCCCAUCUUAGGCCGGUAUUAAUUUUAAUUUUUCCACUGCUAGCACUAUCAUUAUUAAAUCACAUUGGUUCUCUCAGUUUAUUUCCUUCCGAAGGGGUUCUCACAAAUCAGUGCACAGUUGAAUUUUCAGUAUUUGUUGUUCACACCUCACAACAGCAUAUAGAUAGAAAUUAUUUUAAGCCUGCCAAGCAAUUUGGGCUUUACCUGCGUAUAUAAAUUUUAUUAGCCUUUUCUGUGUUUUUGGGUCAAAAAGAAUUGAUAUCUCUUAAUCGUAUUAUGCUUGAGAAGUUGUACAGAGUUUUGCUUAUCACUUACAAUUAUUUUGUAAUUAAUUUGGUGCAGGUUAGUACUUUUAUUAAAACAUGCCAGGAACAAAUUGAUAUUCUUAAGAAUAGUAUAAAUCAAGAAGAGGAACAUUCGAAAGGUUGGCUUGGUAUUGCAGCUACAAAAUCUAAUGCCGACACGAUUGCCCACAAACAUGGGGUGGUGAGGACAUCUUGUGCUUGUUGAUUCAGUUAUUAACUACGUAUGUUGGUUGAGCAGUUGUAUGAUCAUGUUGAUUCAGAGUUUUGCUUGAUAAUGUUAUCUGAAUACUAAUACAUUCAUGAAUUGAGAUGGCUAUUUACUUUUUUGUAUGCUAAUGUUUACUUGGCCCCAAUUUUAGGUUCUAAUUUUGAGCGAGAGACUCCAUACAGUCACAGCACAGUUUGAUCAGCUAAGAGCUGUACGCUUCCAGGAUGCUAUUAACAAAGCAAUGCCACGGAGAAAACUUAACCGUGUAACCAGAAAAGAUUCGGCAGAAACCUCUAAAUCAGAUGGCAUGGAGCUCAGAGAACCUGAAGAGCUACGUGCUGAGCCUCUAAGAGUCCAACAACAACUCUUGGACGAUGAAACACGUGCCCUGCAGGUGAUAAAAAUCAAUUUCUUUAAGAAAUUCUGUAGGACUUAUUCUGUCAUUAGUUUGAUUGAAGAUUUUUAGAUUCUCGUAACUAACCCUUUACCAUUGUUUAUUUUCCUGUAGGUGGAAUUGACUACUCUUCUCGAUACAGUUCAAGAAACCGAAACUAAGAUGGUGGAAAUGUCUGCACUAAAUCACCUCAUGUCUACACAUGUUUUGCAUCAAGCUCAGCAAAUUGAGCAUCUUUAUGAGCAGGUUAGAUAACAUAUAUUCUUCACUCUUGUUUUCUUGUUUUUUGGGAACAUUUUAAGGCUGUCAUCUAUCAUGUAUAUGCUGCCCACACACCUUCCAAGUAUAGCCAAGUGAUGUGAAACUGGAAUUAGUGUGGAACAGGGGAUGGAAAUAGAUCACAUAUAUAAAAUAGGAUAGGUAUGCUUGAUUCAUCUCAAAUUCAAGGCUUAAAUCUGCAAAUCUUAGUAAUCAGCUAACUUAAUAGUAUGCAAAUCCCGCAUCUUGAAAUAAAUUUAUUAAAAAUACCCCCAAUAAGUAAGAACCUCAAGAAAACUAAAAUUUCCAGAAGUAAAUAAGUAAGCAAUACUUUAUACACGUAAUAAUUAUAAUAUCCACAUUCUGUUUUUAAUUAAUACCGUGAAGGUUUAAUAUUUUUUACAGGUUUCCUCAUUGUAGUGCACAAUGAUUGCAAUUUGUUUAUUCUGCCUAAAAACUAGUUGCAUUUCCAAUUUCUAAGAAAUAUAAUCAUGCUUCUGCUGGCUUUUCCAGGCUGUUGAAGCCACUACGAAUGUGGAGCUCGGUAACAAAGAACUCUCACAAGCCAUUAAAAGGAAUAGCAGCAGCAGGACAUUUCUUUUACUGUUUCUAUUUGUGCUUACUUUUUCAGUUCUCUUUCUUGAUUGGUAUAGUUAAAUGCAUUUGGUUCUCUGCUAGCACAGUGUAUCUUCUUAUAGACACUCUGCCCCCUCUCUCGUUUUUCCCUAUUGCUGUCAAUAUCUGUUUUUACCUCUAGGAAGGCAUCUUUUUUCUAGAUACGAUGUGUUGUUUGAUGGAGACAGAUUUUACUAAUCAAUUUAUGAAGGGAAGACAAAAGAGACCUCCCUACUGUUUUGUAGAAGGGUAGAAAAAUCAAAAUAUUUUAUUUGGUUUGUAAAUUUGGAGAGAUAAAAGGAAAGUGAAUGGAUAAAAAUUUCUUUUUUCUUUUCCUUUAAAUCAAUCAGUCUGUUGGAAAUUUUAAAGAAUUCUUCACUGAACCUGUUAUACCAGACAUUGUCUUUGUCAUCAUAUCUUCUGCGAUGGAAUAUUUUUAUUAUCAACUAAUUACAGUUUUUGGUACUUGCAGAAGGAAGACAGUGACAUCAAAUUCUUUGGAAAAAUGUUGAUAAGUGAAAGUAUCGUGCUUGACAUGAAAAGAUAUAAAUUAAAUUAAAUUUCCUUAAAGAUAAUGUUAAUCAAAAGUCUUACUAUUAGUUAAAGAAACUGUACUUUCUUCCAGGACUAAUUAACAAAAAGAAAAACAAAUGAUAAUUUAAUUUGAUAUUAAAGAAACUCACAUCACAAAUUGACCAAGACAAAAAUCACUGUAUAUUAUGCUAAAAUUGUUAGAGUUAGAGAGGGAUUAUUCAAUGAAAAAAAAACAUUUUUUUAUAUGAAAACAAUUAACACGUUUCAUGACAAACCAUCCUCUGACUUUAUGUUCUAAAAAACACAGGAUUUUCAAUUGUUCAAAUAACAAAAUAGAUGUAACUAUCACAACCAUGUUUUCAAAUAACAUUACCAUUUCUUUAUGAGGAAACAAAAUGUACAGGAUAAAAAUGGGGGGCCAUUGUUAGACUAAAAACUAAAACGACAAGGUUUUAUUCACGAAGUCAGCAACCACAAAAAUGUAAUUUCUCUUUAUAUUUUCCGUAUCAUUUCCAUGGUGCACAAUUUCUCCACCUCAAUUCUCAGCAUUAAACGAGGCUCAUUUUCAACUGCACACAUGUGAACUGUCUCUUACUCAUGCUUCAUCACAGAACAACACCUACAACCUGAAAAUGGACCACCCAAAUGUCACUCAAUAGAUGUUUCCUUUAAAACAUAAAACCAUUACAAGUGUUGCUUCAAAAAUCUUGAUGUUUUAAUAAUAUUCAUUAUAUGGGUGUUUUAAAUUUAAAUAAAAACAAACUAAAGAAACAACAAAUGUUUUUAUCUAUAACUAUGUAUCAAGAGAAUAUGAUCUUUCAGAGUACAUAUUUUGCAUAACCUAUCUUACUCCUAUAACUACCACUAUGAAAUAUUACUUCUUCCCUACUUUAUUAGUUAUUUUUUAUUUUAAUCACUGUUCUCUCUCUUGCUCUGCUUCUCUGAUAAUUGCAGUCUCCAAAUCACUCAUAUCCUUCAAUACCACACCACCAACUAUUCACUAUUAUUAUUUAACCUUUAUUCCUCUUUUUAUUUAUUUUUUAUAAAAUAGAGGCACUAACUCCCUCUUUUUUCCUAGUUAUUAAUGAUGAAUCUUAUAUUAUAUAAAGAUGAAUAAAUUAAAGAGAUAAAAAAAAAACCUUUCAAAUUAAUUUUGAAAAUAAAUUAUUAAGAAAAAAGCAUAUUAUCUUUAUUAGAAUGGUAUGUCAGUAUUCAGAUUAAAAAUGAUCAAGAGUACAAUAAUUUUAGAAUUAAGUGGUCUGAAAGGGAAUGAUAUCUAGAAUUUGAUACAAUGUAACAAAACUUAAAAUUUAAAUUUAACUAAAAAUAAAAAAUGGUAUUUGAAAGGGGAAUUAUUUAUAAAUAAAAAAUAAAUUGAAAUGCUUGGUUGAAAAUAAGCCAUGUGACUUAGUAAGAACAAAAAUAACUGCUAAAAACUCAUUUGAUGAUGAAAAUUCAAAUUUAUAAAUACAAUAGUGCUCAAUAAUAAUUUAUUAUUUAACUGUCAAAGUCAUGAACAAUAUGGUUCAUAUCAAGAGCUGCAUGUUUAAACUUGUAAAGAGAAAUAUUAAUCAUUCCAAGCUAGCUCUCAUCCAAAAGAAUGCAGAUUGGUGAAACAAAAAUUGAGCAUAGAAUUAUUGAAAGAAAGAAACUUCAAUCACUAUAGGAGAAGGGUAGCAUGCUGUUGUCCCAUCUCCAUAAGCCUGAUAGUAUCAUAUUUUAUUAGUCCAUCACAAUAUUGACUAUUGCACAAACACCAACUUCUACACAUAAUAAAUAACCUUUUGUUUCAGAAGUUACACAGUUGUUUCACCAGCCCAAUCAACCAAAUACAACAGAGACAGAGAUAGAGACACCAACAAUGACAAACAGAAGUACAUACAGAAAUAUUUAAUUGCUUACUUACAGUUAUAGGACAAAAUUUGGGGUAGCUGAACUCAACUCCCUGUAGUGGGUCUUCUAUUCACCACCAAAUCAUCAGCUGAAUAGUAAUCAGCUAUGAGCCGGUACAUAUAUGAAGGGUUGUGUCCUCCCCUGAGAAGUAAUUUCCAGUCAUGUGAGUGCAGAAAAGGAAACUGAUUAGUACACAUUUUGUGAGGUCAAUGACAAAGGAAAUGAAGUUUUUCCAAUCAAUUUCGGUUUAACUUACGUGUCAGUAAUAAAGAGACUAACAAAUUUUGGCGGCACAUAAUCAAAGGUUGGAUUGACAACAUGAAGAGAGCCGGCACCGCUUGCAGAAUCCAAGCAAUCUGAGAAUUCCCCAAAGUCAAGUAGCUCAGAUGGGGAUCUCAGUUCAUUCAGUAGGACUUCAGGAUUGUGAGGAUACAAAGGACAUAACUGUCAACAAAAUAUAGCAAUUUUCAGAAAAUGCCAAAAAGUGUUGGUCCUGAGAUGAUGAAGGAUCACAAACUAUUUUUUAAAUGUCAUCAAAGUUUUCUUAAAAGCAAUUAAUGGAAAGCAUGGGGGUAUUGUACAUUAUUAGUAAUAUUAUCACAACUUGGACACAUCUUAACUGAGUCAAUACCUAAGAGGCAUCUAUUUCAUUAUCAUCAUAAUAUAAAAUAUUUUUAAAUUUUCAGAAUUUUAAAUCUCUACAAACCCCAUCAUUAGGUCAGGAGUUUGAGAUAUCAAGACUUGACUAGUUUGAGAUAUUUACACCUCAUCAGAAUAAAAAAUUUAGUAACAUCAUUUUAAACUAAUGGCUAAAAAAAUUACAAGCUGUUUAGUAUAGAUGUAUAUUUCAAAGAUUUUGUAUUUAUAUACAUACAUUCCCAAAUCCCAAGUCAUCUAAAGUCCCACACCAUUAUCUCUUCCUGAAUACCCUUCUAAUGCAUAAUAAGUUGUCUUAAUAGCCUAUCAUAUUCAAUGCCUCACGGAUGAAUUUCACAAUAACCUAUCAUCCUCUUUCCAAAUUUAACAGAACAGGAAGUAAAAUACAGAAAAAUCAUAAGUCAUAAGCAUUCUUGUUUCCUGAGAACAUGCCAGAUGUGAGGGCACAAAGAUAUUACAUGUUAAGAACUCACCUUGUGACUCCCAGCAAGUACAACAAAUGGAACAGCAUGCCUUUGAGCUGCAAGUGCAACCAUAUUUAACCCAACUGGGGCAAUAACUCCACCAUUAGCCAUGACAGCAUGAGCUCCAACUAUAACCUAUAUAAUGGAACGUUUAAAUCAACUUAACUUCAGUACAAAAGUGUUAAUUGAUUCCAAAAAUUAUGCCAGGAUAUUCACAUACCAUGUUCACUCGGGAAAUCAAUGCAAACACAGCAGAAUCGGAAAUUACUGUGGUCUGUAAGCCUCUGGCAGCCAAUUCUUUUGCAAGGAUAUGUCCUUGGUAUCUGAUUGCAUGCAUAGUCAACAUUAAAUGGUCUUAUGAAAUAUUUAAACAGGUUUCUUAAUAGUAAAUCACCAUCAUUCCAUGCAAAUGUUGGAUGGCCACUACUGCUAACCUUGGGGCACCUUCAGCAACAAAGACCUUAAAUGAUCUUUGUUUUUCCUUCGCAGCAUAAAGAAAUUCCAACACUGUUUUUGAGCUGCCUAGCGUUAAAAUUACCUCACUGAAAAACAUGCAAACAUCAGUGUAAGAGAUAAGAAAAAAGAAUAAAAGACUUUAUUCCAUCUAAAGAAAAAAAUUCUAACAUCAAGACAUGAUUCAAGACAUGAUCGCAAAAAUCAAUAGAAGAACCAUUGCCUAGGUUAUUUAAGAUACCAAGAAUAUAAGAAAAAAAUUAAAAAAGAUAAGGAAAAUAUAUGGACCAUAAUGUUAGUAGUGGAGAUUAAGAAAAUUUUCUGCAACACAAAACAACCUUAAAUUUGAGAAAAACAUCAACAUAAGAUAACUCUUUUUCUCAAUAUACAAAAGACAAACCAAGUCAGAGUUUCUUUCAAAAAGAUAAAAUAUUGAAGACUACAUUGUUGUUGUAAAUUAACCGAUAUUUAUAAAUAUAAACACAAUAUUCUAAGGUAAUGUUAUAACCGUCAAAUUUGUUCUUUGACAAAUAAUUUCAGCCAAUAGUAGCAAACCCCAAAACAAUUUUACAUAUUCAUAAAAUAAUAAGUUUACUUUUUAUCUGUUAUAUAUCCAAGACCAGUAAUCCCAUCACACUGAAAAUAAAUGUAAUCCAAACUCCACAGGAUGCUAAAAAAGGGUAACAUAAGACAGCUUCCAAGUAAAGCUGUUGAAAAGGUAGCGUACAAGAGCAAGAAAGAAAAGGGAAUAGGGGACAACCUAUGACCCUUCUAGAUAAUACAACAAAAAGCAGCUUUAUGUAAAGCUGAGCAAUAGAUAAAAAGUAGGGGUUAUUUUAACAAGUGUUUGAUAAACUAAAUCAAAUAAAUAAUUAAAUAAAAAAAUAGAUGUAAUCUUCCUAUAUAGUUGGAUACUUAACAUGUGCACUGCCUGGUAUACAAUGGUUAUAAAUAACAACUAACAGUUUAGUUUGUGAUUAUUCAUUCAGAACAUCUAGAGAUAGUUAUAAUGUACUGUUCGCUGCUUAGGCCUGGUAAAAAAUACCCGACAAAGGAAACAAAAUCUUUCAAUGCUCCAUUAAGAGAUAACUCUUGGAUGUUGGAACCCUUUAUACAAAUACCCAUUUAGACCAGAAUAAGUCUUAGGAUUGCUCCCGAAUAAAAUAGCAAGGCUACUGGAACAUUGUCGGAUCAAAACAUAUGGCCUGUAAAUAUAUAAAAGUUUCAUUGCCAGUUUUUCACGGUCACAGAACAAUUUGGAUUUUGGAAAGCAAGUAUAGUAUGUUUUCAGACAAGCACUUUAAAGUAUGUAGUCAUAAACAAUAUAUAUUUAGACUAGUUUAAUGGGAAACAAACUUGUGGUGUAUGUGCUCCACUGCCUGCUCAGCAAUUUGUUCAUAGCAAGUAGAUAUGUCUUGAAUAAGUUCAUUGACUGCUUCAAUGACAUCAUGCUUCAACUUCCGAACUUUUGAACCUUUAUCAACAGCUGUAGAAAAGGAAAACAAAAAUCAACACAAAAAGACAUGCAAUUAAACACCCAAACAACAACAACAACAAAUAUUUCAUCGUCAAAUGUCACACAAGGAAACAGUAUUAUAAAUUAUUCACAGGGAUCAACAAAUUAAAUAACCAGUAAAAAAUCAAUCAAGUAUUCUAAAUUCUAAUAUCUUUAAAAAAUUUGAGACAAUGAUAAUAUUUUAUGCAUCAGCAAAAAUUAUCAAACCAACAAAAAAUCUUGUCUUACAUGGGUUUUUGCAUUCGAAAGGAUGAAAUAAAAAAUGACUUUUUUAUUGCAUUUAACCAUGAAUUUCUGCAUGUCCAGGGAAGCAAAAUCCUUUUCUUAUUACGAAGCAAAAAGAAAAUAUAUUGAAAAUAUUAUAAAAGUUGUAAAAAUCUCAAUAGCCUAGUGUGGUCCUCACAUCUACUUCUCCCAUCAGAUUCACCCCCAGAGGAAGAUGUGUGGGGAGCGGCAGCUGAAUCAGACGUAUCCUCUAGAAGAGUUUGUAACGAUGGUGCACGUAAUGUACUUCUAGCAGCAGCUGCUACAGCAGCAGCAGAUAAAACAGGAUUUUCAUCUCGCUCUGCAUCAUCUUCAUCAUCACUUGCCGCUGAUACCCCCAAACCAGCCAUAGCAGCUGUCGCAAGGGAAAGAUCCUCUUCCCUUAUAAUGUGCAAAACACGCAUCACAAUAUUUCCCACGGCUAGCUCUGCAACAACAUACAGUAAACAAUAAACCAAUCACCAUAAUUGCCAAAUCACAAUAAACUUCUGCAUGUGACUGAUAGGGGCACAAAUAUUUCCUUGAAUUUGAGGACAAGGACACCUCCUUUGACUAAAUAUAACACAAAUUUGAUUAAUCAUCACCUUCCAUUCAUGGUGGUGGUAUUUAAACUAAUUACAGUGGCCAGCCAUUGGCUCUCCACUAUGGUAGCAACAGGAAAGGGUAUCUGCAACAUGCAAAUUGGAAUAAAAGGUAAUUGGCAGAUGUAACAAACUUCUCUACUGACACCUAAUGAGUCAUGCAUCAUCAAUCCAAAUCCUUCAGGUAAUCUGGUGGCUUCUUUGAUGUUCUCUUGGGCUUAGUCUCAUGGACUUUCUUGGUAUGGGUCGCAUGUCUAUCAAUGACUCUAAAACAUUCUUCAAUAAAAGCAUAAAUAACCUAAGCAUUCAGGUAGCAAAAAACCACAAAAUAGCACACUUCAACUGUUAUAAUCAUUGAGAAAAAUACAUACAAAGUGCAUUUUUUGAGUCAAUCUCAAAAACUAGUUCAUGGAAUGAGAGUUACCUCCCACUUACACUACGUAUCCAUAUGGCUAGUCAAUUUAACAACUCCUCUCACACCAAUGACUAGACAUCUCAAAUGUCAAUUUUGCAGAAUUGGACAUCUGCGAGCUGCCCUUUACCGGUCUAAUAGGCCAAACAACAACCAUUUAGGAUAGGUUUUAAUCCUAUCUUAGUAUUUGGAUUUGAGACUAAUUCAACUAAAAGGCUAGUUUAUGGAAUAAGGAUUCUUACCACUUAUAUAUUAUGUUAGUUAUAUUAUAUGUGUAGGGAAUGUUGGAUCUCUGACAUGCAUACUUAUAGUUAUAAAUAGAUUAUAAAAAAGCUUGAUCUUAACAUACCAACAGGAUUGGCAGCAAUAAGCUGCUCCCCAAUAGCCCUUACUGCAUGAAUCAGAGCUGUGGCCUGGUUUGUGUGUGGCACCCGCUGCUGUGAUAUGACAGACCGGAGCAACUCUGCUGUGAGCUUUGCUGUUGCCUGAGAACCUUCAAUUUUACUAGCAUCACUCAGCAAAAUAAAUAAAUAAGAAAUCAUAAAUAAACAAUAAAUAGAUAAUAAAUCAAACACACACAUACAGAAAACCAACAAAACAGCUCAUAAACCUCAAAAUAUGGUUCCUAAUACACCAUUUAUUGAACUCAAAAAGUGUCAGAGGAGUAAAAGAUUACCGUUUCUUAAGCUUAUUCAGAAAAUCAUUGACAAGGGUCUGAACAUCCGGCAUUUUGGGCAAACUCAACCUGAAAAUAACAGUACUAAUAAUAAGAAAAAGAGAAAAAGGGUUUUACUUUAUGAAAUUCAGAUAAAAGGGUAACCUAAAGUACAAUUACAAUGUCAAGGGUCUUCUUCAAUUGAAAUUGGAACAAAGAGUGUUUGCGACAAAAUACUUGAGAAUGAAAGAGAAAGAGUACUGAAUUUGAUUCGCAGUUGUAUCCGCUGAACCCCAGAUUGUCUGCAGUCGAGGAUUUAACAAGUCACCAGUGAGCUAAUCGUAACCGUUAGAUAAAAGUCCUCGGAUCAUAAUGUAUCUCGUAAAUCAAACUUCAAAUAUGCAUCCGAAAUUAGAACCGUUGAUCUUCAUCCAACGGUGUAAGUUCACAAUUGCAGUAAUAAGAUGUAGUGAACUCAGUUUCAUGUUGGGCUUUUUCAUUUCUGUUCGAGGAUUCCAAUAGUCCAGGUUCGAGUAGUUACUUUUUUAUUAUAGAUAGAAAUAAGUUUUAAAAAAAAACGAAUAUUUAAAAAUAAAUUGAUGCACACAAAUAAUAAUAUAAUUUAAUAUAAUAUAUUAUACAUGUUUUGUAAACUUAUUAAAUAUGUGUUUUAUUUUUUUUUAAAUAUUCUAGAUUAAAUUUUAAACAAUGUCUUGUUUCCUUUGUUAUUUUAGUUUAACUAAUAUAUUGUUGGUAAAGAGUCAAAUUUCCUUAAUGAAAAAAAAAUCACUAAAUAAAAGACAAACUGUAUCUAUUUUUAGAACUGGAAUUUACAUAUGUCCACCAUUAGAUUCACAUGUUAAAGAUUCUUCAGAAUUUUAUAAUAUAAUUUAGUUUAGAUAAUUUAGAUUUUAUGAAAAAAAAUAUUCAUAUAAAUUAUUGGAAGAAAAUAUACAAGUCGAUGUGUUUGAACACUACAAUAGAAAAAAAAUAAAUUAAUAUUUAACUAAAACAAUUUUUAAAAUAAUAUUUAACUUUAAUUAUUUGUAUUUUAGUUAUUUGCUAUUUUAUAUUAUAAAUUAAUUAAUCUCUAACUAAAUUAAUGACUAUUUUUAUUAUUUUAUAAAUUAAUAAAUUAGUUUUAAAAAUCAAUGUGAAUGUGGAAAUAUUUUAUUGUCCUAAUAAUGUAUUUAACAUUAUUUUUAAAAUAUUUUAAAUUUAUUUUUUAAAUAAUAUGUAUAUAUAUAUAUAUAUUGGUGUCAUAAAAUAUAUGCAUCUAAAAACUUAUAAAAUAAAUUAUACGUGGAAUUGAAAAAAAAAUUAUAAACAGGAUAUAUAUUGAAGAUAUUUAUUUUUUUACAAAAUAAAAAAAAAUCUUGAAAUUACAUUCAUGCACAUGAAUAUUAGUAUAUAAUGUUAUGAAUUAUCACGAUUUAUUCUUAACUUUUAAAAUUAUAAGUAAUUGAUUAUGUAAUUAACUAGUUUAUUUAAAAUUUUAAACUUUUAAACUUUCAUAUGUAUCUUAUCUUUAUAAGACAUUAUACUUAUCACUUAAUAAAGUCAUAUUAAUACUAAAUAUAGUACAUAUAGAAUGAGAGAGUUUUUCUUUUAAAUAUUUCUUUAUUAAUCUUCAAUAUAAUAUAAAAUUAUAUAUCACAUUUAGUUUUAAAGUAUUUAUUCUCUCAUGUAUUUCAUAAUACUAUCAUAUUGUAUAAUAUAUUAUCUUAUCUUAUUUAUGAUAAUUUCUUUAACUUUUUUAAUUAUUUUUUUAGUUUAAACAAUAGUGAUGAACAUCGUAUAAAUUGAACAAUACGUGAAUCAUCGCAAUUGAAUAUACUCCUAACUUAAAGCAAAUGUAAUUUAAGUAUAAAUUUUGGAAAAAUAAAUAUUUUUUUAAACUAAUAUAUAAAUUAAUUACGAAAUUGGUGUUAAUCUAAAUCCAUAAAAAUUCAAGUUUAAUUCAUAUCUAUAAAUAUGAUUAAUAAAUACAAAGUAAAUGUACACAUUUAUUAUCUUCGGUCACCGAAUACUAAAUAUUAACUUAAAUAAAUUUUCACAAAUAUCUCCACUUACCAGCCAAAAAUAAAAAAUAAAAAACUAAGAAAUUUACACCAAUAAAUUUGAACAUGUAACAUUUCCGAACCAUAGGAACCUUAUGAUUUAUAGGAGAACUAAAAUUUAUUUAACCUUUUAAAAUAGAAUGUUAGAGAAGCAUUGACAUAAAAUAUAAAAGAUAUAAUUAUUUAAAAAAAUGUUUAAAGUGGUGGAAGAGUAAAAAAAAGCAAGAGAAUAAGUGUACAUUGUACUUCAUUUGUUGUUGUUUGUUGAACAUAUGUCUUAGUUGUGGAAAAUUGUUUUGGGACAUCUUUUGGUCAAUUCAGUAUUGAGCAGGGUCAUGCAUUUAUUUCCACAUGUGUUUCUUCCUAUUUCGUUUCUUUGUGGAAUAUUUUUAACCAAAUAAUAUGAGAAUCAAUGAAUUAAAAAAAAAAAAAAAAACUGGAUGUCAAAAUGUCUAUUUAUAAAAUAUGGAUGCUAUUUAAUUAAAAGUAUAAAUAAGAUCAUUUUAAAAUUUAAAUAAAUAUAAAUACGAUUUAGUAUAAAGAUUAGCACAGUUUUUUCUAUUUCGUUUAAUCACAUAACAAUUUCUACAAAUUAAUUUACCUAUAAGUUAAUUUGAAGUUUUGAAGAAAAAAGUUUCAGAUUUUUGAAAUCGAUAAAUUCUAAUAUUAUUAAUGUGUUGAAAAUGAUGUUAAUGGGUCCACUUUGGAAUCACUGAAUAAGCAUCCAACGUAACAUCUCAUCAUUUUCAAUUUCUUUUCAACCACUAAAUUCACGCGCCACUCACUCAUACCUUUUUAUUUUUAAUUAUGUAAUAAAUAAAAGUUAAACAACUCUUCAAAUAUAUUAUUGUUAUUUUAUAAAUUUUACCAUUCAAAUUUUCGUACAUACCUUUUAUCUUAACGAUUUUAUAAAGUGAAGAUGGCAACACGUGUAAUAAAGCGAUAUUUUUAUCCAAAAGUUGUAAAAAUAUGUUAAUUUUUAAUUUCACUCUUACAUUAAAAUAAAAUGAAAAAAAAAUAAAUUAUAACUUGUUCUUGGAAUGGUUUACGAAGUUAUUAAACAUUAAUACGUAUUUUGAUUUGAUAUUGAUUAAUUUAUUUAUAAAGAUAUAUUAAUCUCUUAUAUCGAUAAAUGUAACUAAACAUAAAUACCAUAAUUAAUCUAGUAUUAAUUAUAAUUUUUCUGUAAUAUCCAUUUAACAUAAAACAUAUGCAAUACACAACCAACAAAAUUUCCAUGCCUAAUAUUAAGAAAUUUUAGCAUAAUUGUAUAAUAAGGAAAUAUCUUGAAGUACGUUUCUGUAAUUUUCUUUUCAUUUUCAUGUUCUUAGUCAAAGUUAGGCAGAUGCAAUAAAUUGGUGAAGCAAUAAUUCAUACAGUAGGGUGAUAUUAACAAUUUUUCUUAUUUCCAGAGAAAUAUUUACAGUAUUUGCAACAAUUGAUACAAUAGGGUGAUGGUUUAAAGUAAUUAAACUUAUUUACUAGAAACAUGUGAAUUUAAUUUUUUACAGUGAAUUUUUUUUGAUUUUAAAAUUAAUUAAAUUUAUAAUAUUUUAAAGUAAUUAAUAAAAUUUUUAUUCAAAUAAUAAAUUUGUUCAAAUGAAAUGAAUUAAGAUAUUAGCGAGUUUAAAUUUAACUUAUUAGUUUAAUUUUAUUAACUUCCAAAUAAAACUUUGUAAAAUAAAUUAUUUUCAUUCCAUUUUGUGUGUUAGUUUAAACAUGUAUUAACAAUAAAGUAACAAAUAAAAAUAUGUACUCAUACAUUUCUCUUAAAUGACACGUAUUGGAUACAUUUAUUGAAUUUCUGAUAAUUCUAGCACGAGUUUAACACAAUUUUAAGUAAGAUAAAUACAUUAAUUUUCUAAAAACUCAAACUUAUUCUACAAAUUUUUAUUAUAAUUAUAAAAUUAAGGAAAAAAUUAUUUUGAACCAGUCAUAAAAAACAUAUUUUGUUCCAAACAAAAAUUAAAACAUAUUUAGUGCACAUAAAUCUUUAUUAUCAAUUUAUAUAAUUCAUAAUUAUAUAAUAUAUAAUUUUUUGUCUCAUGUCCUACAUUUUAGAGAUUAUAUGUAUCUCCUGGCAAUAUCAGUGUCGGUGCUACAUAAAUUAUUAUAUGAAAAUAUUUAAUAAUUAUAUAUUGUAUUAUUUAAUUAUAGUCAAUAAUUAAAAAUUAAAGUAAAAGCAUUAAUAAUUGAUCGAUACUAAAAUUGCACGCGUUGGGGUGCGAGUGGGAGUGAGUGGGAGAGUCGUUGUCUACUCCUCAUAGGGAUGACAAAGAAUGGCAUAUUUUAACAUACACGCAAUCCCAUGACGUCAUCUUCUUGAUUUUUGUGACAUCAUCACUCACGUUCUCACGCAUCAUCUUCCUGUUACUCUCCAAUUUGCCCCUCUAAUUCCCACGAAUAUCUAACUUUUGUUUGUUGUUAUUAUACUAUUACUUUUCCAAUAAAUUUUAAUAUAAUCAAUUACACAUGGAGUUAAUAUAAAAAAUAAUCCAAAUAGAUGCUAAUUAUUCACGCUUGAAAGAAAAAAACCAUUUAAUGAAGUAGAAAAAACUUGAGAAUUAUUUUUAUAAAAAUUAUUUUAUUAAACAUUUCAAAUACCAACAAUCAAAUAUCAAAAUUUAUAUAUUAACAAAAAUAGCACAUACAUAAUCUAUACCUAUUAACACAAAAUUUUAAAAAAUAUUAAAUAAAAACUUAUUAUAUAAUAUCAAUUAAAUUUUAUUUUAUGUUUGAAAUAUUUUUUCACUAAAAAUGUAUUGGGGGCAACAACCAAUCCAAGUACGCUUUUGAUAGAUAUAGUUGCCUUAUAAAAAGUAGAACCAACUUCAAACCUUUCUUGGUAGAAGUAUCUAUUAGGUUAAAUGAGCCUAACAUGUGUUUUUUAAAAUUUACAAUUAAUAAAUAAAAAAUAAUUUUGAAUAUAAAAUUAGUUAGAUAGUAUUUUAUAAAUGAUUAGGUAACACUAAAUACAUUAAAGUUCAUAUAUAGGAGAAUGUUUAAAUUUAAUAUUUUCAAUAAACAAACCAUAGCAUAUUUACUAACAGAUGAAAAAUAUAAUGAUUUUAUAUAACAGCAUUAUGAAAUAAGAACAUAUUGAGCACACCACAGAGAAGUAAAAGCUAGUUACGGCAAUAAAUCAAAUUUAAAAGCAACACAUUUUUUCCAUGCAUACCAAAACACAUGGUACAAUUGGUCAACAUUCCUCCCACGACAUAAAUAUAACAAUAUAAUAUAUAUUUUAUUUAAUACUUGUUUUAAUCUAAACAACAAUAUAUAAUAAGAUAUCACAUCAUGUUUUGAUUUUUAUCAAUCAAAGUUAUUUUCAUUUCAUAGAUAAUGCUUUCUCUUUUAUCAACACUUCAAUAAGGAAUUUUUUUUAUAUGAAUCGUAAUCUGUGAUAAAUAUCGUAAUUUGUGAGAUUUUAUAUGUGAGAUUUUAUAAAGUAAACUUUAAAUAUAAUUUAAUUCAUAAAAUUGUUCAUAAGAUAAAAUUUACACGUACUUAUAUAUAAUUAAAUAUUAUCAAAAUAUUAUAAUUUAAUUGAUGUAAAAUUUUCGAGAAACAUUUAAAAAUAUUUAAAACCGACAAUAUAAUAUCUCGAAUUUAUAAUUUACCAUAAUAAUAUUAUGGCAACGAACUUUAGAUCAAUGAAUAAAUUACUUUCAAAACAAUUAGAUUAAGAAUGAUUAUUUUAAAAUAAUCUGAUGCUGUGAGUGAUCUCAUAAUAUCUGACCGAGAAAAAAGAAAAUUCACCGAAAAGUGAAAGCAUAUUUAAAUGACUGGUGGUGGACUGUGCACAUUUAUUUAUAUAAUAUAUGUUGAUUGGAAGAACAGGAAAAGUGAUUGUCUUAUUUAAAAACAGGAACAUUAAUAGAAUUCAAUAUCUUCACAUGGAGGAAACAAAUUCUAUAUAAGUUCUUGCUCAUUUUGAUUUGGCCUUGUGGAUCUGAGUCUUCAUCAUCAUCGCCAUGGAAAUGGAGAAGAGGAAGAACAAGAGGGUCACCAGGGUGGAAGAAGAGGGGGAGAGAGUGAAGAAGAAGAGGUUAAAGGGUGAAGAAGAAGAACAUGGUGGUGGCGGUGAUGGGCUUCCUACGGAGGAGGAGGUGGAGGAGUUUUUCGCCAUAUUAGGGAGGAUGAGGGUGGCCGUUAAGUACUUUGACCACAAAGGGAGGGGCGGCGCGAAGUGGCGGGAGGCGCUCGAGACGGUGGAGCUUGCGGUGGACCACGGCGGAGAAGCCGACGGCGCCCAAGAGGGUGAUGACGGCAACCCAAAGAAAAAGGGUGGGGAGGUGACUAAUGUAACUGAGGGUUUUGACUUGAACGCCGCGGCGCCGGAAUCCGCCGAGGGCGGCGGAGCGUAGAUUUGUGUUGGCGUGUGGGUCGCACGCGCCGCCGAUGUAACUGCCAUGACGUUGGAGGUUUGUGUUUCUCAAACGUAUGCGUUGCCUUGUUUUCUCCGAACAAGAAAAAGGAAAAAUGAAUCUGCGCUUCUUUUCUCUUUGUUUAUCUUUUCGGAAUUAAUUAGGUUUUAAUUGUAAUUGUAAUAAUAAUUUGGAACAUUUUUUUUAAUCUUUUUUCUUCCUUACCUUCCUUAAUCUCAAAUGAAACACAAAUUUGUUUUUGUUUUGUUACCUGUUGUCCUUUUUUUUUUCUGGUGAUGAGGUAAUGACACAUAUUUUUAUUGAAGGAUCCUAAUUUCUCUUACAAUGAAUUUCUUUAUUUAAUAAGAAAAAAAUAUUAAAAGUUUUUUUUCCGUAUAUUUAUCAGGGACAUUGAAGCAUUCACUAGUACAAAUUUGCAUCUUUUUAAAAUUGUUGAUUAUAUUAAUGGUGCCAUGAAUGAAAUUCACUUGGUUCGAUAUCAUGAGAGAUGAAAUGUAAAUCUAAAUAAUAGUCUAAAGUUAGUGAUUUAUUACUCAAGGAGACUAGCUGAAUUGAUUUAACUGAAUCUAUAUAUUGUAAAUUAUUUGGCAUGUUUUUAGUUUCUAUAAUAACAAUAACAUCAUAAAAUAUCGAUUAAUGAGAUCGAGAUUUCACGAAAUUAGGUUAUUUUAUUUAUAAUAUAUAGAUGAGUGAAAAUUUUAUGUUAUAAAUUGGUUUUAUGAAGUUGAAUUAAAUUUAAAGUUACUUUUUUAAUUAUUUUCAUAUCAUAAUAAACAUCUCACUUUAUAACUUUAACGAUAAAAAUAAUUAUAUAAAUAUGAAUGAAAAUCGAUUUUAUAACUUAACGAUAAAAAUGAUUACAUAAAUAUGAAUGAAAAUAUGAUUUUUUUGAAGGUUAACUGUCUAGAAUAAUUAUGUAAGAAAAGAUGGGUUUUUGUCUGCCAUUGAUUGCAUCACAUUGCCAACUUUUGCAAUUUGGGUUUGACAAGAUUGGUGGUGGGUUGCUUAGCAUAUAAAUGACCAUAAAAAUAAGUCAAUAUGAUUAGGACUAAUCAAAAUUUCAAUUCAAUGCUUUGAUCAAAACGAAUAUCAAAGUUCGUUUAUGUUAUGAUUGAAUUUAAUUAUGACUUUGAACAAAAAUAAAAGUUUGUAAUACAAGGUAUUGGUUUGAAUGAUGAAUUUGAAAGAGAAUUUAUUCACAAUUCAACAAAUCAAAGUGGAGUUUCAAAAGAAACAUAAUUGGAAAAAAAAGUCUAAAGUGAAGAAGUGUAGUGGAAUGUAACUAGUAAAACUCUAGGAAUGUAAAACGAUCAAAAGUAAAUGCUUAAAGUAAAAGAAAGGAUUCAAAUCGAUAAAAGAAAGAUUGUAAACGUUUGAUGCUGUAAGCAUAUGCUUUUUGAAAAGCAAUUCCAAAUUGGAAAAGAUUUAUUUGACAUCAUAAAGUUUCACACCAAAUUAUAAUAUUUAAAAUUAAAAAUGAUUAAAAUAUUAUUUUAUUAGUUUGUGAAGUGUAUGUUUUUUUACUAGUAUUAACGAAUCACCACCCUUUUAAAUUAAAAAAUAGAAAAAUCAUUUAAAAGUUUCCAUCAUUUUAAAUAAAAUAAAAUAAAAUAAAAUUCACUAAAAAAAAUAAAAAAAAACUGAGAAAAGAAAGGUAGUAUUAUGUAUUACAACUAUUUUGUUGUUCUGCUAGAUGAACGAAAUAAAUUCCACAGUUGAUGAUGAUUAAGGGAAAAAAAAGUUUAUGAUCAAUUCAAGAUAUUAUUCAUUUUCAUUUUGAAGUUUUUAAACUUCAUUAGAACUUUAUAUUAAAAAACAUAUCGAUAAAUUAAAGAAAGAAUAUUUAAAAUAACUUAUAAAUAAUUAAUUUUUUUAUAAAAAUAUACAAAACCAAAGUCUAAAACCAUGAUGAUCCAAUGGGUAGUGGUGUCUACGCGUGGAGGGGGGUAGAAAAAGAAAAAAAAUGACAGAAGGUUUGAAAAGUAUCUUCCCUUUCCAUUAUAACUUCUGUUUUCUAUUUUUCUUAAAAUAAAAGUUCAGGUCAAUUAUUUUUAAAUUUGAAUUUUAUUGAUGAUCAAUAAGACCAAGUGUAUUUUCAAAAUAAAAAAUCGAAUUCAAAACCAUGUAAACCAAUAACUUGUUAAUUAUAAAAUUUUACAAUCAUUUCAAAGAACGUUGAUUUAAUUCGAUAAAGGAAUACAUUUUAUGAAAAUAAUAUAAAUUUAAAUAUUAAAGUUAUGAAUUUUAUGAUGUCCUCCUGCAAAACAUUGUAGCUUUAUAAAAUAUUAGUAAACUAUAUAAUAUUAUUACACUGUAUUAAAGUCUUCAAAGUAUAUAAUUAAAUAAAUACUUCUAAAAUGAAAGUCUAUUUACUUUAAAUCAUACCAAUAAACACACAUAAAAACAUGCAAAUAUACUAAUAAAAUUUAUCUUAAUGCAAAUAACAAGAUUAGAUAUAUAAAUAUAAAUUAACUUAUUUAGUUGAAUGAAACAUCAUUUGGAAGACUAUAAAAUACAAUAAACAAAUCUUACUAGAAACUAAUAUUUGACACACAUUAGAAUAAGGUUAAGGUUUUUAAUGUUAGAGUGACACAAAACAUCUACUCUCAAACUAUAUGUAUAUUUACUAUGAAGUUUGAUGUAAGUUUCAUUUAAAUUCUCACAACAUAAAAUUUUGUCUAUGUGAUUAAAUAACAAUGAAGUCAUGAUACUUCAUGUUUAUCACCAUCAUCCAAGGUAUGAUACCACCCUGAGUAUCCCUACACCGCCCUUAAAGAUGUACCAACUCAGGAAGUGUCACCAUAUCUAGAGUCAAACUUUAUAUACAUAUAUACCACUUUAUAUACAUACAUACACAAAACACAAACAAACAAACACGAAGGACCAACAAAAAAGGGUAUACAUCAUACAAACAUUAUAUCAUUCAUCUCGACAUCAAUUAUAUAUUUAUCCAAAGCAUAUAAAAUCAAUCUCACAUUUUAUACAUCAUACAUACCAUGUAUAAAGACAUAUAACAUAUAUAAAAUAUUCAAUCAUGACAUAACAUCAUCACCAUCAUAGUAAAUUGUCACUUGAGCGAAAUGCAACAAAAAUGCAACACCCUCUCAGGGCUCUUCUCGCUUGAGGGACCACCUCAUCGCUCAAGCGUUAGUCACUUAAGUAACAUCCACUAUUAAGUUUUAGAGAAUCCUUCCACUACUUUUGGUAGCUUGAGCACCCAAGAGCUUGAGUGCUCAACCUAGCAUUGGAGCACCCAAUGAUCGUGCUAAGCACUAAUAUGUCCAUGACACGUAUGCACCACCUCAGCCACGGUUAAGUAUCCACCACAAUCCUCAAGCCAAAAAGCUUAAGUUCCUUCUCCAACACUUGAGUGAUUGAUAGUUGUCAUUUUGAUGUCAAAUUAAAAUGGUUCCAGCGUAGACUUGUCUAACGCUAAAGAGAUGAUAGUAUACAAGUGAUUAGAUGACCUCAAGUUGUCUCUCAACGAAUUCAAUAAUAAAAUCAGUAAAUCAAUGUUUAGAAUCUAUCUGCAAGCAAUAAAAUUUAGCAAUAACAAUAUAAAGAUAAAAAGAGGAUUGAGAUAGUUGUGCAAAAAAUAUAAAACAAAUUAAAAUAGCAAUUAAAAUGCGGUUGAUCAUCAAGUUCUUCCACCAUUAAAAUUCUUCAUAGAUUCUCUAAAGAUUAAUCAUUUCUCAAUCCUCCAACAAAGCUAAACCAAAUUGAACUUGCGUCAGUCUAAUUCAACUGAAACUCACCAGUAAAACAUGAGUCUACUGGUUUAAUCAAUACUCACUUUGUUCCAUGCGUAUACUCCAUGGAAAUGCUUAUCUCAUCUCUCUUGAAUCAUGCGCCCAAGAAAUUAAUUAGAACAAUGCGAACUAACUAAGAAACUAAAAUUUAAGAUAAGGAAGACUCUCAAUGAUGCAUUCAAGUACAACCUCUCACAAAAAUCAGUUUUCCAUGAGAUUAGAAUAUUAAAACAACUACUAUAAAAAAAUAAAAAUUGAAACUUUUAUUGAAAAAAAAUCUCAAAACUCAAUGGGAAAUUACAAAGGAAUCAACCAAAAAGGUUUAGCCUUCCAUGUGGAGGCAAAACAAAAGAAUUACAAGAAAAAAAGAAACUAAGAAAACCCUAUGAAACUCCCUCCUUUCUCCUUGAUGCUUGUGUCCUUUUAUAGGCCUUUAUGCUCCAGGGAUCUUGGAAAAAUAUUGUAGUCUAGAUUUUGUUAACAAUUUCAAAGUUUUUGACUUUUCAGAAUUCUUGUAUUUUGCAGAAGAUUUGCUUCCAAUUCUGUUUCUGAGAUAUUGUAGCUUUUAUUUUCUCUUUCUUCUCCUCAAAAUUUGUUUUCUGUUUUGAUUAAAAAAGCAACUUUGACUUUUGCAUAUUUGGCCCAUUCACUAAGGUAGACACUUCUUUCAGACCAUUUACUCUAAAAACACAAAAUUAACAAAAAUAAUAGUUAAAGCCCAAAUAAACUCAAUUAUAUGAAUAUUAAUUAAAAAAAUUUAUUUAUUUAUUAUUAUAGUUCAAUAAUCCAUGAUUAAAGCUAUUGAGUGUGAAUAAAUAUAUGCUCAUCAAUGAUAUACUUGAGAAUUGACUCAACAUCUAUGUCACUUGAACAAUAAGCCACAACUUGAACUAUAUAACAUGUCACUUGGACAACCAACACAUUUCUUAAGUGAUAUAAGACAAUAAGUGUAAUGAUUACAUCACUUAGGUCUCUCUUGAGUGUCAAGUGACCGUAAAGCAACCCCAAAGGGCUCAAACAAAGGAUAUUCUCAAAGAUUUCCAAAUUGUAUGUGGAUUCUUACCAUCCCAUGUCCAUCAAAGAGUUAUUUUAAGACUUAUAUCCAACAAUGUAUCAUCACAACAACUCUACAACUCUUCUAACAUGCAUAUAUUUUACAUAAUAUCAACCUCCAUGCAUUACAUACAACUAACAACUAUCAUAUUGUAAAAAAUUGACAUAAUAACUCCCCUUGUCUAGAUUGAAGUAUGCUCUCAUAACAACCAAUACUUGAUCAUUUUUCCUAAGACUCUAAUGAAUCUAGAGAAGUUCUCAAAACAUCAUUUUAUAUGAGCAAACAUUUCCUCUAAAUCAUUCAUACAAGUAAAGAAGAAGAGAAGAAAAAAAGAGAAGACAAAAAGAUAAGAAAACUCAUAUAUGAUUGAGGUUACUUACCAAGACUAACUUCUCAUCAAUCCAAAACAAUUAGUACCUUACUAACUCCACAAAACCUCAAUCUAGUAAAGAAUCUAUAAUUAAAAACUCACUUAUAUCUGUCGAAAAUGACAACUUUUACCAUAGCCGUUGUUUUAUAUCUUUCAAAAGGGUCUAAAGUGGUGGCUUUUACCAUAGCCGUUGUUUUAUAUCUCUCAAGAGGGUCUAAAACAACGCCUUUUUACCAUAACUGACAAUUUAUAUCUUUCAGGAGGGUUUAAAACAACGAAUAUUUACCAUAAUUGCCAUUUUAUAUCUUUUAUGAGGGUCUAAAAUGAUGAAUUUUACCAUAACUGCCAUUUUAGACUGAAUAUAACACGACAAUUAUAUAGUCGUAGUUUUUGCUUGAAGAAAAUAGACUACACGUUGAAAGACAGCGGUUCAAAAACUGUUGUUUUAAUGCUAAAAUGACUGUUGUGAUUUAGCUUUUUCUGUUGUCUUUGCUUAAAGAGAAUACACUAUCUUUGCUUGAAGAGAAUAAAUUACAUGCUAAAAGACAACAUUCCAAGAACCGUUGUUUUAAUUCUAAAAUGACCAUCGUGAUUUAGCUUUUCUGGACCAGUGAUGGUAAACUUUCUUUUUAGAGUGAUGGUGAUAAACAUCUAUCGAUUUGAAAUUGAAAGAGUUAGAAAGUAAGAAAAAAAACAUGAUAAAAAUAUUAAAUAAUAUCAUAGAAAUAAAAAUGGAAGAGAAAUGUAAAUAAAUUUAAAUAAAAAUUAGAUGUGAGAGUAAGUUAGUUUAUAUUGAUUUGUUUAGCGAUUUAAUAAUUGAAAAAGUCAAAUAAAAAAGAGUAAAUUAUAGUAAUAUUUGCUAAUAAUGUAAUUAGACCCAUGUUUGUUUUUUUUCUAUGCUAUACUUUAACUUAUAAUAAUCCUUUCCAUUAUUAUAAACUUUUUUAAAAUUACAUAACUUUUUUAAAAUUAUGCACUAAUAAUAGGCAUGGUCAUAAUAUUUUGUUAAUAUUUAUCUUAAUAUAUAGAUACACACACAUAAACAUUAUUCUAAUUGCAAUUGUAUCCUUAUUUAAUUGUAUAAUUUAAGUAUUAUAUAAUAUUAUGUUAACAUGUGAGAUUGAAUCUGUUUUAUAUGUUGUUACGUGUGGAUUAUUAGGAUGAUAAAAAAAUAUAAAAAGAGUAAACUGCAUGAUGUUAUUAUUUUGGAAAACUUUUCUUUUAACACUCGAAACAAAAAACAAACACUUAACAGCUCUUUUUAAUAAUAUAAUAAUAUUUUAAAUAAAAAAUAAAAUAAAAAUAUAAAAAUAUUAAUUUAUUAGAAUGUUAGGUGUAUGUAUUUAGUAUAGAUUCUUUUAAUAAUAUAAUAAUAUUUUAAAUUAAAAAAUAAAGUAAAAAUGGUUAAAAUAUGAACAUUAUUAGCAGCAAAGAACAGUGAAUAUAAGUGUUUUACUGUGACAGUGAAGGUGGAGUUUGGAGUCUAGAGGUUGUUGAGGACGAUGUUGGCGAGAUUCAAACCUUCACAUGUGGUGUCAUCAUCAGAGAUCUUGGAAGAAAAAGACCAAGAGAACCCUGAGGUGGCAGAGAACCCAACGCUCACCCACUCCGGAAGAAGGCUCUCGAGCUCCACUCUCUGAGAGACGAUGUAGUUCGUUGGCUGAGAAGGGUAAACCAGAGAAGCCACCAAGAGCUUCGUGGAGGACUCAUAGGUGAUCUGAACCUCCGCGUUUUCUCCGUUGACCAAUUCCCACGGCGUCGUUUUCAUAGACUCGAUGGAGUUCACGUCGAUGCCAAUAUGACGGCCUUCGGGGUCCCACUCCUGGUUGACGAAGGUGUCGAACUCCACAGCCACAGUAUGGGCUUUGCUGUUGUAUUUGUCGCUGUCGAAAAGACCUAGAAAACCGCCUUGCUUUGUUGGGAACGAGAGCAAAGCCAAGGCCAUCGGCGGCUUUUGCUUUGUUGGGAGCGUGGAUAUUGAAUUUGAAGUUUGUGGUGAAGCUGGCGACUUUUCCGGUGGCGCUGUCUUAGAUUUGGAUGGGGGCGGAGUAGAAGGCGCGGCCCAGAGAGGCCACCGUGGGUUCUCCGUUGCUAUUAACAUUGGUUAGUCGUAACUGGCCGGAGGAUGAGACGGAGGCAUCGCCUUGGAGGAUAAGGUUGGUUUCGUUGAACCUAUCGAAGCUGAAGGAGGUUUCGCUGGCUGAGUUUGCGUGGCUGAGAAGCACAAGGAAGAGGCUAGGUUGAGUAAGUUGGAGGAAGCCAUGUAUGCAUUCAUGCAUUAACCAUCACUCUCUUCUCUAUUUAUACAACAACAAAUGCAAAAUCUUUCCAACUUUUUUAUUUCAUUCUAUUAUUAAAUACGUGUUUUCGAAUGAUUAACUUUUUUCUUUUAUAAUAUUAUUUGAGAGAGAAAUAAGAAUAUUAAAAUAAGAAUUAAGCAACGAUUGAUUUUACAACGAUUCAACGUUUUGCUACGAUUCUUAAUUACAAUGUGUCGAUAACUCUUUUUAAGUAUUUGGGUAUGCUGGUAGGGGGUGUCAUUGGAGAGGUGCUUUUUGAGCGGACAAAAAUUCCAAAAAUCCACCAUUUAUUAUUAAUCUUUUUUAUUAUUUAGGUAUUUUUCAGGUAUUUUAAGGUUUUAGUUCUCACAGUUACCCUAAUUAGAAAAUUCUAAUUUUUUUUUCAUGAUUUUUUAGUUAUAAAUUAGUGAUAUAUCAAAACCCUAUAAAUUAGUGAUAAUUCAUAUUUUUCGUGAAGGGAAUGCGUGUGCUAAUAAGUUGGCUAAUUUAGGAUUUAUUCAUAGAGAAUCAUUUCAUUGGUAUAAUAGACUCCCAGCUAGUCUGUUCUUAGAAUUCUUUAUGAAUAGGUAUAAUCUACCUAUUUAUCGUUUUUGUUAACAUAUGGGUUUUGGUCUAGUCCCGUCAUAUUUUUGUAUUUUCUUUCUUUUUUCUUUUUUUUUAAUAAUAUUUUUUUUAUGUGAUGACAAAUGAUUGUUGUUACUUGAGGUGUCAGCUUAGCUGAGAUGUCAAGUUGCAUAGUGAUGCCUAACACGAAAACUUUAUAUAAAAAAAAACCCUAUGGACAUAUAUAUGUCAGAUUUGUUAGAAUUUGCAUAUGGAGAUCAUUGUAAGAGCAUGACUGGAAGCAAAUAAUAAUAUUUAACUUAUUCUUUAUAAUUUUUUAACACUAAUUAAUGUGAAUCCUUUUUCCCGCCAUAGAAUAUGUGAGAAAUGGGCCACGUAUUUCCUUAAUUUCUAUAACUCUAAGAUAAAUAAUCAAUAAUAUAGGAAUUAGAUAGAUAGAUAGGAAUAUAUAUGUUAUUAGUGUUUGUAAUACAUCUUUAUCAAUGUAUAUAAUUUGAUUAUCUGAAUAUAUGUAUCAGGGCUAACUUAGUUUUAAUUGUACAAGUCAAUUUAGAUAGGAUUAACAUUAAACAGAAUGAACUAAACAAAAAAUUCUCAUUUAAAAUGGCGGCUUUUACCAUAACUGCCAUUUUAUAUCUUUCAAGAAGGUAUAAAUGACGACUUUUUAUCAUAACCGUCAUUUUAUAUCUUUAAGGAGGAUCUAAAACGGUGACUUUUUACCAUAACUGUUGUUUUAUAUCUUUUAAAAAGGUCUAAAACGACGACUUUUACCAUAAUUGCUGUUUUAGACUGAAUAUAACACAACGAUUAUAUAAUCUCUGUCUUUGCUUGAAAAGAAUAGACUAUAUGUUGAAAGACAACGCUACAAGAACCGUUGUUUUAAUACUAAAAUGAUCGUCGUGAUUUAAUUUUUUUCAUCAGUAAUUGUAAAGUUUCUUUUUAGAGUGUUGAUAAACAUAUAUCGAUUUGAAAUGAAUAGAGUUAGAAAGUAAAAAAAAAAUACAAGAAAAAUGUUAAAUAAUGUCAUAGAAAUAGAAAUGGAAGAGAAGUGUAAAGAAAUUUAAAUAAAAAUUAGAUGUGAGAGUAAGUUAGUUUAUAAAUUGAUUUGUUUAAUGAUUUAAUAACUGUAAAAAUCAAAUAAAAGUAAAUUAUAGUAAUAUGUACUAAGAUUUAAUGUAAUUACACCCAUGUUUCCUUUUUUUUUCUCUGUUAUACUUUAACUUAUAAUAAUCCUUUCCAUUAUUAUAAACUUUUUUAAAAUUACAUAUUUUUCAAAUUAUGCACUAAUAAUAUAAUAAUACACAUGCUGAAUAAUACGCAGUGUAAAUAUAUGAGCUCCUAUUUUAUUUAUGCUCCCAUUUGUGACAGAUGAAGAUUAUUAGCAGGAAAGAAGAGUGAGAGUGAGUAUAAGCAGGGUUUUACUGUCACAGUGAAGGUGGUUUUUGGAAUCUAGAGGAUCUUGUUGAGGAGGAUGUUGGCGAGAUUCGAAUCUUCAGAUGUGGUGUGACAGGAGAACUUGGAAGAAAAAGACCAAGAGAGCAGGUCGUGCGUUUCACUGGACACGUUAGAUGACCCUGAGGUGGAAGAGAACCCAACGCUCACAUUUAAUAAUAAUAUUAUGUGAUACCUCACAAUUAUUUAUCUUAUUAAUUGAUCAAUUACCAUAAUUAUCCUAUUAUAUUAUUGGUAAUUACUAUUAUCAUAAAUAAUUAGGGUUUCUUCUUGGGUGUAUUAUAAAUAGAGAUUACCAGACAACUAAAGAGACACUCUUAUAUUCUAACAUCACACGGUCGAAACUCAUUCCCUAAAGGGAUUUUCGAGCCUCUCAUCUCUUUGUCUCUCUGCUCACAUAAUUCCAUUUUAAGCGAUACACUCUAAAGGGAAACCCGAUCAAGAUCAUGUCUUCGUCCCUCAGCCAUGCGAUCACGGGUUUACCAAGUAUUAUCUAAUCAUUAUUCUCGUUUCAUUAUAUGAUUGAGGAAUCCUAAUCCAACAUGUGGUAUCAGAGUCAGGUUUAUGUUGUUUAAUCGAUUCUUCUUUUGUUUUCCCUAAAUUUGGAAGAAACGAGGAUUUUGAUUCAACCUAUUGAUUUUCGAUGUUUUUAUUUUGGUAUAUUAUUGAACCACUUAUUUUCGAAAAUCCACCUUGAUAUCAUAAAAUAAAUUUUAAUUUUUUCGAGAUCCAUAAUUAUUUUAAGAUUUUGAAAAUUAAAAUUUAAUAUUAAUGUUAUGUGUUCUUCAUAAUUUUCGUGAGUAUUCCCUUAUUUGGAAUGGAAUUAAUUUUGAUUAUAUGUUCAUCAUCAUUAUUUGUUGUUCGUAUGAAUUUUUGAAAAUUAUGAAUAAAGAAUUUUCAAAAAUUAAUUAUUCCCUUAAUUAGGAAAUUUUGAAAAUAAUAUUUUUCCUUAAUUCAAAUUUUCGAAAUACAAUUGAUUCCCUUAAUUAGGAAUGGAUUUGAUUUGAUUUGAUUGUGUUUUUCUAAAAAAAUAAAUAAAAAUUGAUAUCUUAGUCUCCACGUUUUUCCUUAUUUAGGAUAGUAUAUUCUUGCCUUAUUAAUUUUCGGGUAUUAUUAUUAUUAUUACUAUUUUCGAAAAUAGCAGUCGUGUCAAACUUGGAAACAUAUCAAUCUAAUUAAAAUUUUGAAGACCAAAUCUAAAAUCAAAUCCUUAAUAUUCCGCUACUCACUUAUCGAGUUUACGAGUAACAUAUUUACGCGUUUCCUUUUAUUUAUCGAAUUAAAUAUGGUAAAUCUCAUGAUACCGUAAUUAUGUUUUAAAAAAAAUACUUAUUUUGUUAAACUCUUAAAACAAAAAUAUUAAGUUUGACAAAAUUAAAAUUAAAUUUUUUGCUUAAACUUAAUAACAGGAGUCUCCCUUCUGUCCAACGAUGAUGGGUUAUGUCUUGUUAUUUUAGUCUAAUUAAGCACCUUCACUUACUUGUGAGUACACUUAAUUAUUAAAUAUUCGCAUGACAUUUGCCUAAAAACACAAUUAUUUCUUAUUUCUAUUCUGUCCAACGAUGUUUGAUGCACUUGUGUUUUGCAAACUUAAUAUGUGCAUAAGCUUAAAUGUUCAAUUCUGUCCAAAGAUGAUGUGUCACAUUCUUAUUGCACAUACCUUACUUAUAAUUGUUCAUUAUUCUUAAAUAAUUGGUAAUUAACCAAAGUGAAAGCUGAUUGUUUAAGUAGAACCUAAUCUAGUCUAUUAUUUUGAUGUUAUAAUAGAUUUUAUCACAGCUUCAUUAUCAUAAUGGUUCUUACUUAUGCCUGCUUUAGAUCUAAGUUUCCAAAUGUCACUCUAACUUUUUCCUUAGCCUAAGUAUCUUAAUUCGUCGUCUAACCAGCCCCUAAUAUGGAAAUUGAGACCUUGACUGGUGAAAAUCAUUCUUCUUGGAAAGAUUCCUUGAUGCUNNNNNNNNNNNNNNNNNNNNNNNNNNNNNNNNNNNNNNNNNNNNNNNNNNNNNNNNNNNNNNNNNNNNNNNNNNNNNNNNNNNNNNNNNNNNNNNNNNNNNNNNNNNNNNNNNNNNNNNNNNNNNNNNNNNNNNNNNNNNNNNNNNNNNNNNCAAUCAUUAGAGGAGGCAUUCCUGAUUCACCUAACGCUAAGGCUUAUCUAGCUUCUGUGGAGGAACAAUUUCAAGGAACCUCUAAGGCUCAUGCUAGUACUCUUAUCUUGAAGUUGGUGACUACAAAAUAUGACGGGCGCACCGGCAUUCGUGAACACAUCCUGAUGAUGAGCGACAUGGCCCGUAAACUUAAGGGAUUAGCCAUGGAGAUCAGUGAAGGUUUCCUAGUCCACUUCAUUAUGACUUCUCUUCCUUCUGCGUUUGAAGCCUUCAAAGUCAACUAUAAUACUCAGAAGGACAAAUGGUCCAUGAGUGAGUUGAUUGCUAUGACUGUUCAAGAAGAAGAGCGCCUGAAGUUGGAGAAACCAGAUGUUGCUUACCUCGUGGCUGCUGAGUCGAAGAAGCGGAAGGGCAAAUUCCAUAAAAAGGAAUCUAAUAAGGUCCCUAAAACUGAUGCAAGUGCACCCUCCAGCUCUAACAAAUUCACUAGCAAGUUCUACUGCAAGUUCUGCCGCAAGGUAGGACAUAAGCAGUCUGAGUGCUCAAGCUUUAAGGAGUGGUUGGCUAAGAAAGGUAAUCAUCUAAAUAUGAUAAUUGAGUCCUUUAAUUUAAAUGUUCCAACUAAUACUUGGUGGUUUGACUCUGGUUCUAUGGUUCAUGUGACCAAUUCAAUCCAGGGAUUCCUUACAAUCCAGAAGCUGGAAAGAAACCAAAGAACACUUAAGAUGGGGAAUGGACAAGAACUAUUUGUCGAAGCUGUCGGAAUCUUAGAAUUACUUAUGAAAACUGGAAAAUGUAUUAAACUUUAUGAUACCUUAUAUAUUCCCGAAAUUACUCAGAAUCUUGUAUUAGGACCAAAGUUAGACAUUGAUGGUUUUUAUGUUUCCCAUGGUCAUGGCAAACUUACUAUUUCUUUAAAUUCUCAAUUGUUUGGUACUGGUUUUCUGGAUAACGGUCUCUAUAAGUUAGAACUAGAUGAUAACUUCUCCAAAUCUUUGUUAUCAUAUAAUAUUAAUGAGAACUUAACAAAGACCAAGAGAAAACGAGACUUAGAAACUUCAUCCAUGUUGUGGCAUCAACGUUUAGGCCACAUUUCACGAGAUCGCUUAUCUCGACUUGUGAAGGAUGAAGUCUUACCAUCUCUCAAUUUCACUGAUUUUGGAACAUGUGUCAAAUGCCUCAAAGGCAAAAUGACAUCCACGACUAAGAAAGGCAAAAUGACAUCCACGACUAAGAAAAAAAAAUACAAGAAAAAUAUUAAAUAAUGUCAUAGAAAUAGAAAUGGAAGAGAAGUGUAAAGAAAUUUAAAUAAAAAUUAGAUGAGAGAGUAAGUUAGUUUAUAUUGAUUUCUUUAGUGAUUUAAUAACUGUAAAUAAGAAAGAGUAAAUUAUAGUAAUAUUUACUAAGAUUCAAUGAAGUUACACCAAUGUUUCCUUUUUUUAAUAUGUUAUACUUUAAUUUAUAAUAAUCCUGUCCAUUACUAUAAAAAUUUUAAAAAUUACAUAUUUUUCAAAUUAUGCACUAAUAACACGCAUAUAUGGUCAAACAGAAUAAACUAAAGCAAAAAAUUCUCAUUUAAAAUAGCGGCUUUUAUCAUAACGGUCGUUCUAUAUCUUUGAAGAUGGUAUAAAAUGAUGAGUUUUUAGCAUAACUGCCAUUUUAUAUCUUUCAGGAGGAUUUAAAACAACGAUUUUUUAGCAUAAUUGUCGUUUUAUAUCUUUAAAAAAUGCCUAAAAUGAAGACUUUUACCAUAAUCGUUAUUUUAGACUGAAUAUAACACGACGAUUAUAUAACCGUUGUCUUUACUUAAAGAGAAUGGACUUCAUGCUGAAAGACAGCGGUAUAAGAAUCGCUCAUUCAUGCUGAAAGACAGCGGUAUAAGAAUUGCUCAUUUAGUGCUGAAAUGACCGUUGUCAUUUAGCUUUUUUGCACCAAUAAUUAUAAAGUUUAUUUUUAGAGUGGUGGUGAUAAACAUAUAUCGAUGUGAGAAUAAGUUAGUUUAUAUUGAUUUGUAUAGUGAUUUAAUAACUGUAAAAGUCGAAUAAGAAAGAGUAAAUUAAAGUAAUAUUUUCUUAUGUUUAAUGUAAUUUAAACCAAUGUUUUUUUUUUCUAUGUUAUACUUUAACUUAUACUAAUCCUUUCCAUUAUUAUAAACUUUUUAAAAAUUACAUAUUUUUUAUUUUUCAAAUUAUGCACUAACAAUACGAAUAUGCAUGGUCAAUAAUACGCAGUGUAAAUUGUGUAAAUAUAUGAGCUCCCAUUUUAUUUAUUUAUUUUAGUUUGUGUGACAAAUGAACAUUAUUAGUAGCAAAGAAGAGUGAAGAGUGACUAUAAGUAGCGUUACCAUGAGACUAUGUUACUAUAUGAGACUAUGAGGUAAUAUGGCCUGAAAAAUGUUGAAGGAACUUGUCAAAGACUCAUAGACAAAGUCUUCAAGGGGAUUGGCCGGAACAUAAGGGAAAUGGUCGGAACGAUUUACGUGGACGACAAACUCAUGUGCCCAACACAUAAAGAUUUGAAAGAACUCUUUGAAGCUAUUAGGCUAUGAUGUUCAGACACUUCUCUUAAAUGAUGUGUCGGUGGUAGAUACUCAUAUCGGACACCGACAUUCGUAUGACACUUGUAGGACACGUAUUCGUGAAAUGUCCAAUUCAAAAAGUAUUUGUUGGAUUUUUGACAAUUUUAAUACAAUUCUAACAGAAUUUUAAAAAGGAAAAAUACAUUAAUUUUCUAAAAACUCAAACUUAUUGUAUAAAUUUUUAUUAUGAUUAUAAAAAUAAGAAACAAAUCAUUUUGAAGUAGUCAUGAAAAACAUUUUUUUCUCUUUUCUCCAAAAAACAAUCUGUAACAUACUUGUGUACAUAAAUCUUUAUUAUCAAUUUAUAUAAUUUAUAAUUAUAUAAUAUAUAGAUUCGUGUUUUCAUAUCCUACAUUUUAAAUAUUUAUUUUAAAUAUUUUCCGUAUCUUUACGUUUGUGUCCUUGUUUUAUCGGUGUCCGUGUUAUACAGCUCUUAAGUGAAUGAACAUGCGGCUAAAUCCUGAAAAGUUUGCGUUCAGGAAUAUAAGUUAUUGGGUUUAGGGUUUAAUCUCGAGAAAUGUAGGGCGAUAGAGAUAACAAGAUGAUCAAAAAUACAAAAAAAAGAAGAAGAGUAAAAUAGAGUAAACUCCAUUAUGUUAUUAUUUUGGAAAACUUUUCUUCAACAGUCCAAAGUUUGGAGUAAAAAACAAGCAUUUGACAGCUCCUUUUAAUAAUAUAAUAAUAUAUGAGCUCCCAUUUUAUUUUCUGUGACAGAGAAACAUUAUUAGCAGGAAAGAACACUGAGUGAAAGCAGUGUUUUAGUGUCACAGGGAAGGUGGAGUUUGGAGUCUAGAGGAUUUGGUUGAGGACCAAGUUGGCGAGAUUCAAAGCUUCAGAUGUGGUGCCAUCGGAGAGCUUGGAAGCAAAAGACCAAGAGAGGACGUCGUUCGUUUCAACGUUCCCUUUAGUAAUCCCAGUGGUGGCAGAGAACCCAACGCUCACCCACUCGGGAAGAACGCUCUUCAGGUCCACUGUGUCAGAGACGGUGAAGCUUGUUUUCAGAGAAGGGUAAACCAGAGAAGCCACCAAGAGCUUCGUGGAGGACUCAUAGGUGAUAUGAACCUCGGCGUUUUCUCCGUUGACAAAAUCCCACCGCGUCGUUUUGAUAGACUUGAUGGAGUUCACGUCGAUGCCAAUAUGACGCUCUCUGGGGUCCCAGUCCUUGUUGUAGAGGGUGUCGAACUCCACAGCCACAGUAUGGAAAUUGCUGUUGCUGCCGUCGAAAAGACCUAGAAAACCGCCUUUGUCUUUGGGCUGAGAGCCCACGGGGACGAGAGCAAAGGCAAGGCCAUCGGCGGGUCCUGCAUUGUUGGGAACCUGUAUAUUGAAUGUGAAGUUGGUGUCGAAGCUGGCGACGUUGCCGGUGGUGUAGUCCCAGAUUUGGAUGGGGGCGGAGUAGAAGGCGCGGCCCAGAGAGCCCACCGUGGGUUCUCCGUUGCUGUUAACAUUGGUUAGUCGUAACUGGCCGGAGGAUGAGACGGAGGCAUCGCCUUGAAGGAUAAGGUUGGUUUCGUUGAACCUAUCGAAGCUGAAGAAGGUUUGGCUGGCUGAGUUUGCGUGGGUGAGAAGCACAAGGAAGAGGGCUAGGGAGAGUAAGUUGGAGGAAGCCAUGUAUGCAUUCAUGCAUUAACCAUCACUCUCUUCUCUAUUUAUACAACAACAACUGCACUCUCUCUCUCUACUUUAUGGAUUCAACAAAUGCAAAAUCUUUCCAACUUUUUUAUUUCAUUCUAUUAUUAAAUACGUGUUUUCGAAUGAUUAACUUUUUUCUUUUAUAAUAUUAUUUGAGAGAGAAAUAAGAAUAUUAAAAUAAGAAUUAAGCAACGAUGGCAAUGCAUCCACGUCAUCCAAACAUUGAAAUAAUAUGAAAUAAUUACUUUAAAUUUAAAGAGAUAUUUAUGGAGAGAAGCGGUUGGCACGUAGUAGUGGGAUGUGAGACGUGUCAUAGUGUGAAAGCCACAGUGGAAAGUGACAGGAGACAUGGGUGAAGAGGAGGUAGAAAAAAUAUGAAAUAAGAAAGAGUAAAUUGUACUAAUAUUUCCAAAGGUUUAAUGUAAUUACACAAAUUUUUCCUUUUUUUUUUCUUUUUUUUCUAUGCUAUACUUUAACUUAAUAUAAUACAAAACUCUAAAAGAUAUAAUAUCUUGAAUGUACGUGAUGAUUAACUUUAGUAAAAAUCAAAAUAUUACCGUUACAAUUAAAGAUAAAAAAAGUGGUUUCAACCGGCCAGAGUUUAUUCUGGUACUUCCAAUAAUCUUAUAUGGUUAAAAAGUUGAAAUAAAAAAUAAUUUAAAUACACAUUUUUUUAUUAUUAUUUUUAUUUUUUAGUACGUCAAAAAUAAAAUAAAUAAAAUAUUUUAAAAAUUGAUAUAAGAAGGUGUUAUUAUUAUGGUAUCCUAUGUGUGUGAUUAUGUAAUAAGAUAGAAAGAGGUGGAAUUGGAAGAAGGAUGACCAUUGAAAAAAAGAUAAGAUAAGGUUUGUUUGAUGAGUGGGCAGAAUGUUGUGUUGGUGUGAAGCAGUUUGGCAGUAGCAAUGCAGGAGGAAGGACAAUCCAACGCACCAAACUGUACCACCUUCAUGAAAACUAUGCACACAAUCAAUUUCAACUAUUUUGUGGAUAUCAUUUUUCAAUUACAAUUGAAAAAAUUUGAUAGUUUUUUUUAUCAGUAAUAAAUAAAUUAAAUAAAAUAUUUUAUGAGUGUUUCAAUUCUUAUAAAAAAAUAUAUAUAAAGUUUUUUAACACUCAACCAACUGGAAAUCCAACCGAUACUGCAACAUAUCAACUAAAUUGACAUAGACAAGAAUGAAGAAAUGAAUAUUGUUGGGAAAAACGGGUAAUUUUCCCACUAAAACAAAACCCUAACAGAGCUACCCGACAAAUAAUAUUGAAUAAAUAAAGCGGAAUAAUAAAAGAGAUAAAGAGAAAAAAGACACCCGAAUAUUGUUAACGGAGUUAGCCUAAUCUCCGAGCACAGCUGAAAUAACUUGCUUUUAUUAUUAUGUGAGAAAAUAUUACAAAUUGAGAUAUCUAACAGAAGGAGGAGAGUUUAAUUUAUAACCCUCAAAACUCCUUCCCAAACAAUGAACCCAUCGAUGUGGGACUUGGGAUUAAGCCAAAAUCAACAAAUCUCCACCUUGGCUUAAUUUCAAGUCCCACCUAAAACAAAUCUUCUAAAAAACAUAACAAAAACAAACUUUGCAGUGUUUCAAAUUUGCGCCUCCGGGCGCCAACUUCAAAUGUGCAAGAUAUUAACCAAGUUUAAAUAGUGUUCAAACUUGGUCCUUGUAACCACCUUGGUGAGCAUAUCUGCAAGAUUCUCCAUAGUGUGAAUCUUCUGGAGAACAAUCUCCUCUUCUUCGAGAAUAUCACGCACAAAGUGAUAACGAACAUCAAUGUGCUUUGUCCGUGCAUGAAAGACUUGAUUCUUUGCUAAAUGAAUAACACUCUAACUGUCAGAAUAUAACUCAAGUUGUUUCUUACCAACUCCCAAGUCUUUAAGCAACCCAUGAAGCCAAAUUGCUUCCUUCACAGCCUUUGUAAUCGCCAUAUACUCUGCCUCUGUCGUAGACAAAACUACCGUAGACUGCAAGGUAGACUUCCAACUAACUGACACUUUUGCUAAAGUGAACAAAUAGCCAGUUGUAGACCGUCGCUUAUCCAAAUCACUUGCAUAAUCAGAAUCACAAUAUCCAACUAUGCAUUGACCAAGUGAUUCAUCUUGCUCAAAUGUCAAUCCAACAUCUAAGGUAUUUUGGAGGUACCGUAGAAUCCAUCUCACAGCUUGCCAAUGACCCUUGCCCAGAUUAUGCAUGUACCUGCUAACAACACUCACAGCCUAUGAAAUAUCUGGUCUUGUACACACCAUUGCAUACAUCAAGCUUCCAACUGCAUUUGCAUAUGGGACUUUCGCCAUGUAUUCUCGUUCUUCACCAGUCGUUGGAGAUAAACGGCUACUCAAUUUCAGAUGAGGAGCAAGUGGGGUACUUACAGGUUUUGUAUCUUCGUGUAUACCAAAACGUUGUAGUACCUUCNNNNNNNNNNNNNNNNNNNNNNNNNNNNNNNNNNNNNNNNNNNNNNNNNNNNNNNNNNNNNNNNNNNNNNNNNNNNNNNNNNNNNNNNNNNNNNNNNNNNNNNNNNNNNNNNNNNNNNNNNNNNNNNNNNNNNNNNNNNNNNNNNNNNNNNNNNNNNNNNNNNNNNNNNNNNNNNNNNNNNNNNNNNNNNNNNNNNNNNNNNNNNNNNNNNNNNNNNNNNNNNNNNNNNNNNNNNNNNNNNNNNNNNNNNNNNNNNNNNNNNNNNNNNNNNNNNNNNNNNNNNNNNNNNNNNNNNNNNNNNNNNNNNNNNNNNNNNNNNNNNNNNNNNNNNNNNNNNNNNNNNNNNNNNNNNNNNNNNNNNNNNNNNNNNNNNNNNNNNNNNNNNNNNNNNNNNNNNNNNNNNNNNNNNNNNNNNNNNNNNNNNNNNNNNNNNNNNNNNNNNNNNNNNNNNNNNNNNNNNNNNNNNNNNNNNNNNNNNNNNNNNNNNNNNNNNNNNNNNNNNNNNNNNNNNNNNNNNNNNNNNNNNNNNNNNNNNNNNNNNNNNNNNNNNNNNNNNNNNNNNNNNNNNNNNNNNNNNNNNNNNNNNNNNNNNNNNNNNNNNNNNNNNNNNNNNNNNNNNNNNNNNNNNNNNNNNNNNNNNNNNNNNNNNNNNNNNNNNNNNNNNNNNNNNNNNNNNNNNNNNNNNNNNNNNNNNNNNNNNNNNNNNNNNNNNNNNNNNNNNNNNNNNNNNNNNNNNNNNNNNNNNNNNNNNNNNNNNNNNNNNNNNNNNNNNNNNNNNNNNNNNNNNNNNNNNNNNNNNNNNNNNNNAUAUCCAUGAAAUGAGCAGGCUUCUGAAUAUCUCGUCUCUGUCUUCUAACUGCAAUUGGCUCUGAUUGUUGUUGAGAUUCUUGGGUAGGAACCUCUUCCUCAUCUGACUCUUCUUCUGCCAUAGGAGAGUCACUUGUGGUAUUUCGUGUUGGGAUCACCACUGUCGGCUCAAACUCCACCUGUUGCGGAGUACUAUCAGCUCCUUCUGGAUUUACUUUCUUUAACAUGGCAGAUUCAUCAAAGGUAACAUCCCUGCUGAUAAUCGUCUUCUUUGCCUCUAGACACCACAAACGGUAUCCCUUCACUCCAGGACUAAAGCCCAUGAAAAGAGCUUUCAUUGCCCGUGGAUCCAACUUUGAUUCAAUCACAUGAUAAUAUGCAAUAGAACCAAAAACAUGCAAAGAAUCAUAAUUAGUUGCAGGUUUUCCAAACCAUACCUCUAGCGAGGUUUUGCCAUCUAUAGCAGAAGAUGGCAAACGAUUGAUGAGAUGUUGAGCGUAUGUCACAGCCUCAACCCAAAACUCUUUGUCUAACUCAGCAUUAGACAACAUACAACGAACUUUCUCCACAAGUGUCUUGUUCAUACGCUCCGACACCCCAUUAUGUUGUGGUGUUUUUCUAACAGUGAAGUGUCGAACUAUGCCACAAUCUUGACAUACCUUCAAGAACGGAUCACUCUUGUAUUCUCCUCCAUUGUCUGUUCGGAGAACCUUAAUCUUCCUUCCUGUCUGGUUUUCAACUUGAGCUUUCCACUUAAGGAAAAUUUCAAGCACAUCAUUUUUGUUCUUCAUAGUAAACACCCAAACUCUCAUGGAAAAAUCAUCCACAAAAGUGACNNNNNNNNNNNNNNNNNNNNNNNNNNNNNNNNNNNNNNNNNNNNNNNNNNNNNNNNNNNNNNNNNNNNNNNNNNNNNNNNNNNNNNNNNNNNNNNNNNNNNNNNNNNNNNNNNNNNNNNNNNNNNNNNNNNNNNNNNNNNNNNNNNNNNNNNNNNNNNNNNNNNNNNNNNNNNNNNNNNNNNNNNNNNNNNNNNNNNNNNNNNNNNNNNNNNNNNNNNNNNNNNNNNNNNNNNNNNNNNNNNNNNNNNNNNNNNNNNNNNNNNNNNNNNNNNNNNNNNNNNNNNNNNNNNNNNNNNNNNNNNNNNNNNNNNNNNNNNNNNNNNNNNNNNNNNNNNNNNNNNNNNNNNNNNNNNNNNNNNNNNNNNNNNNNNNNNNNNNNNNNNNNNNNNNNNNNNNNNNNNNNNNNNNNNNNNNNNNNNNNNNNNNNNNNNNNNNNNNNNNNNNNNNNNNNNNNNNNNNNNNNNNNNNNNNNNNNNNNNNNNNNNNNNNNNNNNNNNNNNNNNNNNNNNNNNNNNNNNNNNNNNNNNNNNNNNNNNNNNNNNNNNNNNNNNNNNNNNNNNNNNNNNNNNCAUCGAGUUCUUGAAAUUCAAAGAACCAUUCCUGAAUGGGACACAUAUGAUAGGUACAACCUGAAUCCAAUAUCCACUCAUCUGGAUACGAUGAUGCUGAAAGCGAGACAAUUAAAGAGAUAUCUGAUUCCACACCAUUUUUGCAUUCUGCAACAUUUGCAUCUUGUGGAGCCUUCCCUUUCUUCUGCAGUUUUGGAUAGUCUUUCUUCCAAUGUCCUUUCUCAUGACAGAAAGCACACUCAUCUUUGGCAACGGCUCGACCUUUAGACUUAGACCUCCCUCUUCUCCCCUUUGUUUGGCUUUGCUGACGACCUCUUGCCACCAAUGCUUCUUCUGAUGUCGUUGAUUUGGUUUUCAUCUUAUCCUGCUUUCUCAAUUCAUGACUAUAUAAAGAAGAACAAACAACAUCUAACGACACAUUCUCCUUCCCGUGAAGGAGUGUAGUCUCAAAAUGUUCAAAUUCAUCAGGAAGAUAUGAUAACAACAUCAAAGUCAAAUCUUCAUCGUCAAACUUCACAUCUAAAUUCAACAGGUCUGCUACUAAUUGAUUAAACAUAGUGAUGUGCAUUCAUAGUAGUACCUUGUUGGUAGUCAAAUUGGAACAACCUUUUCUUCAUCAGGAGCUUGUUUUGACCACUCUUCUUCAGAAACUUGUUCCUUCCACAGUUUGUGUGCAGAAGUCUCGUUUUUUACAGCAUACUUCUGCUCUUUGGACAGGUAGGAUCGAAUAGUUCUGCAUGCCAACUGGUUGAUGAUGCUCUAGUCUUUCUCCUCUACCUCUUCUGGUUUCUCUCAUUCAAUAACAAUAUCAUUUCCCUGUUGAAAAAGAGAGUCCAAGACCUCUCCUUGCCACAUGCCAAAAUGUCCAGUGCCAUCAAAUAUUUCCACCGCCAAUUUCAAAGUGGACACCGGGAACCUCGACCAUGAUGACGAGGAGCCCGACACUCUGGAUACACCAUUCACUUCUUCUUCUUGAUUUGCCAUUACAAACUCAAAAUAUAAUAUUCAAUAUUACAAAUAAUUUCAAACAACCCAAGGCGAACCUUCGGCUCUUGAUACCACUUGUUGGGAAAAACGGGUAAUUUUCCCACUAAAACAAAACCCUAACAGAGCUACCCGACAAAUAAUAUUGAAUGAAUAAAGCGGAAUAAUAAAAGAGAUAAAGAGGAAAAAACACACCCAGAAAUUGUUAACGGAGUUCGGCCUGUUUAGCCUAAUCUCCGAGCACAACUGAAAUAACCCGCUUUUAUUAUUAUGGGAGAAGAUAUUACAAAUUGGGAUAUCUAACAGAAGGAGGAGAGUUUAAUUUAUAACCCUCAAAACUCCUUCCCAAAAUAUGAACCCACCGAUGUGGAACUUGUGAUUAAGCCAAAAUCAACAAAUACAACAGAAUACGAUUACUUUAAUCCUUAAAAAAAAUCACAUUCUCAUAAAAAGAUAAAAUAUUCUAACAAUUAAACAAAAUAUCAUUUUUAUUAUAUCACUCAUACUUUAAAAAUGGUUUCCUAAGUAAUUUAUAGGUCUUACAUUAAGGAAUUUAUAAUUACUUACACGUUAAUGAGUCAAUAAUUAAGUUAAACUUAUGUAAUGUCUAGGUGUUUGAUUUAAUUUAUUCUAUUAAUAUUUUUGUAUUUUUUUUUCUUUUGAUCCUAAUUUGAAAGUCGUAGAAAAACAAUACAUACAAUAUUUUCAUAUUUUUACUUAUGAAUUAUAAAUAAAAGAAACAUACUUUUUUUAUUCUGAUGUUUUCUUUACAGAACUUUUUAGACCAAUUAAGAAAAGAGUGUGUAUGUGAAAAGAUGAUUUAUGAAUUUUGAUAGACACUUGAUGGUUAUGUGAAAUGUUUGAGAAAUUGUAUGAGAGUUUAUGAAUUUUGUGUAUCAAUUUGAAAUUUAAAUUAUAUAGACCAUUUUGUUAUAACUAGCUUACCCUGUUAUUUGUUUGUGUUUGUUUCUUUAUCUGUGAUGAUCGUGUUGUACACGGGAGCAUAUGAGAUUGCAAGUAAUAGAGCUCCUAAAUGAACAGCCGGAGGAUGUGAUAGUUUUAAUUUGAAUGCUCUCUUUGUUUUUAUAAAUUUUUUUAUGUAUAUAUUAAAAUCCCUACGAAAAGAGAUAAUUUUUUUAGAUACAAUUAUGAGAUAUUUAUAUAUAUUCAUAUGUUAAGUAGAUAGUGUUUGUUUUACUUUUAUUUUAUUAUAUAUGAAUAAAAAUUAUGAAUGUUACAUCUAACAUAUGAUUUACCGAAAUAAACUGAAGUUAAUUAAAUUAAAUUAGUUUCCCGUAUAUUUUGCUUUUCAAGCAAAAUACUAAGAAGAAAAUGAUGUCUUAACUUAUUUUCUGAAAACCUAAUUCAAAAAUUAAACACAUAAACCUAAACUAAGAGAUAUUCAUAUUUUCUGAUCGGAUUAUAGUUUCGAUAGAAAAAUCCAAUAUAUGCUAACAAAACAAAACACAAGGAGUUUGAGAUCUAAAAAAACCUUAUACUCAAAUCAAAAUUGGAUGAGUUCAAAUUCAUUAAAACUUUAUUAUCUUCUUCGUCUCGCACUUUAAAAGAAGAAUAAAAAAAGAAAAAUCACCUAUAAAAUAUAUAUAUAUAUAUAUAUAUAUAUAUAAUUCGAGUCUAAUCAACUAUGAUAUUAUUUGAGGGAGUAAUAAGAAUAAAAAAAAUAACAAUUAAACAACGAUGACAAUGCAUCCACGUUGAGACAAAGGUGUCAUAGCCACCACCACAGUACAGAGAUAUAGCAAGUUGAGACAAAGGUACUGAUAGAAUUUAGGUGAGAGAUGUCUUUUCAUUUGAGGAAGACAACACCAGGAACAUGUUUUUCCCUUAACACAGAAAUUCACAUUUAGUUUGAAUUUUAGUUGUUAUCAAAAGAUAUUUACAAAGGAUUAUUCAACACUUAAAUAAAAAUUCAAUAUUUAAAUAUAAUAAUAAUGUAAAAAUGUCUAUUUAUAAUACAUGAUUAAUCAUUUCAUUUCAAAUUUUGAUUAAAACAUGUAUCAUAAUAUAUUAUUUAAUUUCUAUAUGAUUUAAGUAUCAUUAAUAUACAUUUUAACUAAUAUAUAUCUUUAAUACGUCAUUAAAUUAUAGUGUGGAAAUGGGUUUAUUCGAAUGUGAUAUGGUAGAAGAGAAAAGAAGUUUUCAUCUAUCAAACUUUUCUGAUUCCACGAGAACAACCUUCUCAGCUGCUGCUUGGGUAAAGGGGCAACGUGCUUUUCUACAAUUACUUUAAGCUAUUUACAAUUCAAUAUAUAAUCUAACCAAUUUUUAAGAAAAUGGGGGCAAUAUUCUUACUUUUUAUAAAACAUUAUGAUAUUUUUUAAAAGUAUUUCGAAUACGAAGAAAUCAUAUUAAUAUAUACGAUUGAUAUAGUACUUUUUUAUUCAAAGUGAUUUGUGGGAUUUGAAUCAUCAGAAUUAAAUAUGAUUAGAAAAUGAAAAGAAAAGAUUCAAAUUAAAAGGAACCAGAUACUGAUUUAUAAUAUAUAACACUCUAAAACUAAAAAUCACUUUUUCUAGUCUAGUUGUAUAUUAUGGUAAGGAAACAUCUCUCUUUCCUAUAACACAAUUGAAAAAAUUUCAUAGCAUUUCAUUAAAUGUUAUAAAAAGUAGUACCUAAAUUGUAUAAGAGAAGAACACACACAACACUGAAUUAAAAAUUUGUGACUCUUGAAAGAAACCAUUUCCACGUAUGCAAAAACAACGAAUGAAGUGUGUAAUAGUUUUUCUUACUUUUCUAGUCAAAGUAGCAUAGUUUAAAUCUUUUUUGUAAAUGUGAUGAGACAUGCAAAGUGGUACUUAAAAGGCUAAACCUAAGUUUAAUUAGAAAUUUCCAUUUCUAAUUAAACUUAGGACCGGCCCAAUUUGACCCUAGAUGAGCGUAAGUUCUAGAUGAAUUAGCACAUGGAAGCAUUCUAGAAUCUUACCUCACAUGGGCUGAAAAUAGGCGCCACUUUUCACAUGUGCCAACACUUUGAAUUUGGCUCUCAUUUCAUUUGUAUUUGGCUCUUCAAAUUCCAGCCCUCCAAGCCUAUAUAAGGAGGUGCUUGGUUCAUGUUUUCACAAGAUUAUUUUGAGUAAUGAAAUGUUGCCAAAUUGUGUUAUUCUUACUCCCUUGCCUACAAUCUCUUAGAAUUUAGGUCUUAAUCUUCCAAAACUGCACCUCAAAGAGAGUUGGCCGAACCUCUCUCACUUUCACACUCUUCAUGCACCUCUAAGGCUUACACAACUCCUAGGAGAGCCUUAUUUCACCUCAAUCCAUGAAUGCUUCCGCCAAAACCACCACAAAAACCGCAAGAUGAAGAGCUCAAAGCCAUCAUUUGGUAUCUAGAGCUAUGGUCUUCAAGAGAUAAGUGUCUCUUUUCAUUUUUCUGUUUGAGUUCUUCUUAUUUUCAUGUUGUUCAUCUCUUGUUCAUGUUGUCUUGCUGUUUUUACAUUUUUAAUUUGAUUUAGAUGUUGUUCUAAGCAUUUCAAUCGGUAGAAAUUGUUCAAAUUGUUCUUGAGCACCUUAUUUUCAAUUUUUGUGUAGGAAUCUAUGGUGAAUUGUGUUGCUGUUUUGAUUUUAGGUUACUUGAGUCUUGUUUGAAUUUUUGUUCGGUGCAUUAUGAUGUUCUUGAGUCAUUUUAUUUUCUGAAUCUAUAUGUUUUGCCUAGUCAUGUAAUUCCUAGAAUGUCAACAAACCUUAGUAGUACUUUUCUUGAUUCAUUUGUUUCUUGUUUUGAUUUGAGUGUUUAAUUUGAAUUCUGACUUGAUUUGUUCCUUUGGUGCAUUUUUCCUUUUAGUUUGAGUUCAUAUUGUAUGAUAGAUCCAUACAAAUUCAUAUAACUUUCACUCCAUUGUGUUUUUGAAGUUUCUCUUUCUAUUUUUAAUUCCAGAAAUAGGAUUCCUCUGUUUUUACAAAUACUAUACUGGCUAUUUUGUGUUAUGAAAAUUAAAUACGUUAAAAGAAAAUUCUGAGAUUCUAGAUUUCAGUGGUUUGAUGUGUUAGAAAAAGAAGAAAAAAAGAAUCAGUCGAAAAGACAAAAUAGAAAAAAAAAAGAUAAAUCACACAAAAAAAUGUUCAUUCUGGCGCUAAAAUUGACUGUAAUUGGACAGUGAUUUUGAAAAAUUUAUCACAAUUAAUUGGUGCAUGUUUUUGGUGUGAUUCCAGCGCCAAAAGUUUGCUAAGAGAUUGAAUCGUUUUUGGUUAAAUUUUCAGAAGCAAAUUCAAAAUAGCCAACUCAACAUAAAUAUUUUAAGUCAUGCUUUAUGAACCUUAAUUUUCCAGUAGUGUUGUUUUGGUUUUUCAAAUCAAUUCUAGUGCCCAUCUUUAGGUUCCUUUUGUGUGUCAACCUUUGUUAAGUGCCUAUUUUUUUUAUUUGCUUGUCCAAUAUCAUUAUGAACUCCUUCUAAGUUGUGUCAUAUCAUUAAUUCCUGUUUUUGUGGUACUUUUCAAAUUUAAUUUGUUUCUUGCUUUAUUUUCUUGACCUCUAAAAUUGUUGGUGGAAGAAUUUCAAUUGGUGCUUGCUAAGUGGAAAUUGACUUUGUGGUAAGUCUAGCUCUACUUAGUAGGUACUGUUUUGAAGAAUUUAAUUGCUUAAAUCAUAAGAGGUUAAGGCAAGGAGCAACAACAUACACAAAUACCAAAAACCAUACACUUUGAAGAGCACAACAAAGAAGAGCAAGAACAAGCCAAAGGAGUGCAUAGCUUAGAAAGCUGAAAUUAAAUUUGUGCAAUUCAAUUCCUUUUCAUUUCUUAAGUUGUAAUUACAUUUCACUUUUGCUAAUUAGUGGUUAGACGGUGAGUGUGUCUUCAAAUGCUCAAAGUGUCUAAGAAGCCUCACUUAGGAAGCGACUAGUUUAAAGCUUUGUAGAUUAACAAUUUCUAAUUGUGUUAGCUAGAUUGUUUUACGUUAAUCCUUGUUUAGCUUUGCUUAAAAUUGCUUACGUUUAUCUUUUGUUUAAGCUUUGAUUAAUUGCUUUAUUUGUUAAAUAGCUUUGCAUUGUUUUUCCUUGCAUAAAAUUUGAUUUUUCAUUCCUCAUUAUGUUCUAAGUAAUUUACUUAGAAAAAGAAUUGUGUGAAGUUUUUUAGGGAUAGUUUUUGACUAAGGCAAGACUUGGUACUUAAGAAGUCCUUAGUGACUCACCUCUCUUACCUGGAAAGCUACCUUCACUAACUUUCCUCUUCUUUCUUGAAGUAAAACACUUUUAAACACAAAGUUUUAGUCAUGUCUUCUCACUCCUCUAAAUCUAAUGAAAGUGAUAUGAAGUCCAUUAAAUCUCUUUUAAAACAACUUGCCAAGGACUUUCAAUUACUUUCAUAUAGACAAUUGGAGAAUGAUGCCAAAAUUAAUUAAUUGACUAAAGCAAAGGAUGAGAAUUCUCAAAAAUAAAAAUAAAAAAUACAUUCUCAUGCAUCUAGUUCCAAAGAUCAUGAUUCUCUUGGGGAGGGAAACCUUAGGAUUAAUGAGUUAUCAACCACCUCCUAGGAGAAAUAGAAGAAGAGAACAAGAUAGCCCAAGAGAGGUUAGGGUAGACCUACUCCAUUUUCAUGGAAAAGAAGAUGUAGAAGUAUACCUAGAUUGGGAAGAUCUUUCUCCAGCUCCACUUUGGCAGAGAAGCACAAGGAAGAGGUCUAGGGAGAGUAACUUGAAGGAAGCCAUGAUCAUGCAUUCAUGCAUUAACCAUCACUCUCUUCUCUAUUUAUACAACAACAAAUUCAAAAUCUUUCCAACUUUUUUCUUUCAUUUUAUUAUUCAACACCAAAUUAACAAUUAUUAAACAACGAUGCCAAUGCAUCCACGUCAUCAAAAAAGUAUAUGAAAUAAUUAGUUUAAAUUUAAAUACAUAUUUAUGGAGAGAAGCGGUUUGGCAGGUAGCAAUGGGAAGUGAGAGGAGGUGCUGAGGUGGCCGUGUGCAUGGCCAGUAGUGUCAUAAUGAGAAGAGGUGGGAGCUGAGGUGGCAGCAUGCAUGGCCCAGUGAUGUCAUGUGGGGAAUCAAAAAUUCUAAUUUCAUUUUCCCUUUUUUAUUUAAUGGUAUAUAUUAUAAAAUUUUAUAUUCACCGUAUUAUUCUUAUUUUUUUACUUUGUUGUAAACUACGAUGACUAUAUUAUACUACGUACAUGAGUAAAUGAUCACACAGGUAUGAGAGGAUCUUGAGAAUUUUAAAAUGUUUUCUUAAAAUUAAUAUUUUUUAAAUAUUUGUAUUUCUGUAAGUUUUAAUUAUGUAUUAGGAAUAUUUUUAAAAAUUUUAAGUUUUUACAAAAAUAUGUAUAACAUGUAUUAUUAUAAUUAGAUUUAUUUUUGUGUGUUAUAUUUAAUGUUAUCAAAGCAUUUCAUCUUUAUGAUAAUCUGACGGUAGUGAGUUUAUUGUGUUCUUCGUGUGUCUAAAUUUUUUGUUUAAUUCUAACUUCAAGACCUUGUUAAAAGUUUCUAAUAAUAUGUUUAAUAAAAUUGUUUUCUUGAAAUCUUGUUUGAGUGGUGAGGAUACACACUAAUGACUAUAGAAAACCUAAUUAGAAUUAUUAUAUUAAAAGUUUAAGUCUCUUAUAUUAUUAUUACAAUUACAACUAAAACUUAAUUAAUUCCGAAAAGAUCAGAAACAAGAAACAAAGAGAUAAGGACAUUUUUUUUAAUCUUUUUUCUUCCUUACCUUCCUUAAUCUCAAAUGAAACAUAAAUUUGUUUUGUUAACUGUUGUCCUCUUUUUCUGGUGAUGAGGAAAUAACACAUUUUCUAUUGAAGGAUCCUAAUUUCUCUUACAAUGAAUUUCUUUAUUUAAUAAGAAAAAAAUAUGAAAAGGUUUUUUUCUGUGUGUUUAUCAGGGACAUUGAAGCAUUUACUGGUAUAAAUUUGCAUCUUUUUAAAAUUGUUGAUUAUAUUAAUGGUGCCAUGAAUGAAAUUCACUUUGAGGGAUAUCAUGAGAGAUGAAGUGUAAAUCUGAAUAAUAGUCUAAAGUUGUGUUUUAUUAGUCAAGGAGACAAGCUGAAUUAAUUUAACUGAACCAUAAAAAUAAGUCAAUAUGAUUAGGACUAAUCAAAAUUUCAAUUCAAUGCUUUGAUAAAACGAAUAUCAAAGUUCAUUUAUGUUAUGAUUGAAUUUAAUUAUGACUUUGAACAAAAAUAAAAGUUUGUAUACAAGGUAUUGGUUUGAAUGAUGAAUUUGAAAGAGAAUUUAUUCACAAUUCAACAAAUCAAAGUGGAGUUUCAAAAGAAAGUUAAUUGGAAAAAAAGUUUAAAGUGAAGAAGUGUGAUUGAACGUAACAAGUAAAACUCUAUGAAUGUAAAACGAUCAAAAGUGAAUGCUUAAAGUAAAAGAAAGGAUUCAAAUCGAUAAAAGAAAUAUUGUAAACGUUCGAUGUUGUAAGCAACUGCUUUUUGAAAAGCAAUUCCAAAUUGGAAAAGAUUUAUUUUACAUCAUAAAGUAAAAACAUAACACUAAAUUAUAAUAUUUAAAAUUAAAAAAUAAAUUAAAUAUGAUUAAAAUAUUAUUUUAUUAGUUUGUGAAGUAUAUGUUUUUUUUACUAUUUGUGGUAUUAACAUAUCACCGCCCUUUUAAAUUCAAAAAUAGAAAAAUCAUUUAAAAGUUUCCAUCAUUUUAAAUAAAAUAAAAUAAGAUUCACUAAAAAAAAACCUGAGAAAAGAAAGGUAGUAUAACCAUAUUUGUAUUACAACUAAUUUUGUUGUUCUGCUAGAUGAACGAAAUAAAUUACCCAGUUGAUGAUUAAGGAAAAAAAUUUAUGAUCAAUUUAAGAUAUUAUUCAUUUUCAUUUUGAAGUUUUUAAAUUUCAUUACAACUUUAUCUUAAAAAACAUAUCGAUAAAUUAAAGAAAGAAUAUUUAAAAUGAAUUUCAACUAGACUUCUAAACAAUGAACUUUUUUAUAAAAAUAUACAAAACCAAAGUCUAAAACAAUGAUGAUCCAUAAAGGCAUACAUUUUAUGAAAAUAAUAUAAAUUUAAAUAUUAAAUUAUGAAUUUUAUGAUGUCGUCCUGCAAAACAUUGUAGCUUUAUAAAUAUUAGUAAACUGUAUAAUAUUAUUACACUGUAUUAAAGUCUUCAAAGUAUAUAAUUAAAUAAAUACUUCUAAAAUGAAAGUCCAUUUACUUUAAAUCAUACCAAUAAACACACAUAAAAACAUGCAAAUAUACUAAUAAAAAUUAUCUUCAUGCAAAUAACAAGAUUAUGUAUAUAAAUGUAAAUUAACUUAUUUAGUCACACAAUUAUGUCAUGACUAAAUGAAAAGUCAUUUGGAAGACUCUAAAAUAUAAUAAACAAAUCUUACUAGAAACUAAUAUUUGGCAUACAUUAGAAUAAGGUUAAAGUUUUUAAUGUUAGAGUGACAUAAAACAUCUACUAUCAAACUAUAUAUGUAUAUCUACUAUGAAGUUUGAUUUAAAUCUCAUUUAAAUUUUCACAAUCUGUCUAUGUGAUUGAAUAACAAUAAAGUCAUGAUACUUCUUGUUUAUGACCAUCACCCAAGGUAUGAUACCACCCUGAGUAUCCCUACACCGCCCUUUAAGGGUCAUGCACCAACCUAGGAAGUGUCACCAUAUCUAGAGUCAAAUUUUAUAUACAUAUAUACCACUUUAUAUACAUACAAACACAAACAAACAAACAAACACGAAGGAUCAAUAAAAAAUGGUAUACAUCAUACAUACAUUAUAUCAUUCAUCUCGACACCAAUUAUAUAUUUAUCCAGAGCAUAUAAAAUCAAUCUCACAUUUUAUACAUUAUACAUACCAUGUAUAAAGACAUAUAACAUAUAUAAAAUAUUCAAUCAUGACAUAACAUCAUCACCAUCACAGUAAACUGUCACUUGAGCGAAAUGCAACAAAAAUGCAACACCCUCUCAGGGCUAUUCUCGCUUGAGGGACCACCUCAUCGCUCAAGCAUUAGUCACACUUGAGUAACAUCCACUAUUAAGUUUUAGAGAAUCCUUCCACUGCUUUUGGUAGCUUGAGCACCCAAGAGCUUGAGUGCUCAAACUAGCAUUGGAGCACCCAACGAUCGUGCUAAGCACUAAUAUGUCCAUGACACGAAUGCACCACCUCAGCCAUGGUUAAGUAUCCACCACAAUCCUCAAGCCAAAAAAGCUUAAGUUCCUUCUCCAACACUUGAGUGACUGAUAGUUGUCAUUUUGUUGCCAAAUUAAAAUGGUUCCAGUGUAGACUUGUUUAACGCUAAAGAAAUGAAAUGAUAGUAUACAAGUGGUCAGAUGAUCUCAAAUAAUAAAAUCAGUAAAUAAAUGUUUAGAAUCUAUAUGUAAGUAAUAAAAUUUAGCACUAACAAUAUAAAGAUAAAAAAGGGGUCGAGAUAGUUGUGCAAAAAAUAUAAAAGAGAUUAAAAUAACAAUUAAAACGCGGUUGAUCCUCAAGUUCUUCCACCAUUGAAUUCUUCAUAGGUUCUCUAAAGAUUAAUCAUUUUUCAAUCCUCCAACAGAGCUAAACCAAAUUGAACAUGCGCCAGUCUAAUUCAACUGAAACUCACCAGUAAAACAUGCGUCUACUGAUUUAAUCAAUACUCACUUUGUUCCAUGCGUAUACUCUAUGAGAAUGUUUAUCUCAUCUUUCUUGAAUCAUGUGUCCAAGAAAUUAAUUAGAACAAUGUGAACUAACUAAGAAACUAAAAUUUAAGAUAAGGAAGACUCUCAAUAACGCGUUCAAGUACAACCUCUCAUAAAAAUCAGUUUUCCAAGAUAUUAGAAUAUUAAAACAAUUGCUAUAAAGAAUUAAAAAUCGAAACUUUUAUUGAAAAAAACCUCAAAACUCAAUGGGAAAUUAUAAAAGAAUCAACCAAAAAAGUUUAGCCUCCCAUGUGGAGGCAAAACAAAAUAAUUACAAGAAAAAAGAAACUAAGAAAAUGCUAUGAAACUCCCCCCUUUCUCCUUGAUGCUUGUCUCCUUUUAUAGGGCUUUAUGCUCCAAGGAUCUUGGAAAAAUAUUGUAGUUUAGAUUUUGUUAACAAUUUCAAAGUUUUUGACUUUCCAAAGUUCUUGUAUUUUUGCAGAAGAUUUGCUUCCAAUUCUGUUUAUGAGAUAUUGUAACUUUUAUUUUCUCUUUAUUCUUCUUAGAAUUUGUUUUCUGUUUUGAUUGAAAAAGUAACUUGAACUUUUGCAUAUUUGGUCCAUUCACUAAGGUAGACUCUUCCUUCAGACCAUUUACUCUAAAAACACAAAAUAAACAAAAAUAAUAGUUAAAGCCCAAAUAAACUUAAUUAUAUGAAUAUUAAUUAAAACAAUUGAUUUAUUUAUUAUUAUAGUCCAAUAAUCCAUGAUUAAAGUUAUUGAGUGUGAAUAAAUAUAUGUUCAUCAGUGAUAUACUUUUAGAGAAGAGAAUUGACUCAACAUCUAUGUCACUUGAACAACAAGCCACAACUUGAACUAUAUAAUAUGUCACUUGGAUAACCAACACAUUUCCUAAGUGAUAUAAGACAAUAAGUGUAAUGAUUACAUAACUUAGGUCUCUCUUGAGUGUCAAGUGAUCGUAAAGCAACCCCAAAGGGCUCAAACAAAGGAUUUCUCAAAGAUUUCCAAAUUGUAUGUGGAUUCUUACUUUCCCAUGUUCAUCAAAGAGUUAUUUUAAGACUUAUAUCCAACAAUGUAUCAUCACAACAACUCUUCUAACAUGCAUAUAUUUUACAUACUAUCAACCCCCAUAUAUUACAUACAACUAACAACUAUCAUAUUGUAAAAAAAUGACAUAGUAACUCCCCUUGUCUAGAUUGAAGUAUGCUCUCAUAAUAACCAAUACUUGAUAAAUUUUUCUAAGACUCUAAUGAAUCUAGAGAAGUUCUCAAAACAUCAUUUAUAUGAGCAAACAUUUCCUCUAAAUCAUUCAUACAAGUAAAGAAGAAGAGAAGACAAAAAGAUAAGAAAACUCAUAUAUGAUUGAGGUUACUUACCAAAACUAACUUCUCAUCAAUCCAAAACAAUUAAUACCUUACUAACUCCACAAACCUCAAUCUAGUAAAGAAUCUAUAAUUAAAAACUCAAUCUACUGGUUUAAUUAGUACCCACUUUGUUCCAUGCGUAUACUUCAUGGGAAUGCUUACCUCCCCUCUCUUGAAUCAUGUGCCCAAAAAAUUAAUUAGAACAAUGCAAACUAACUAAGAAAUCAAAGUUUAAGAUAAGGAAGAUUCUCAAUCAUGCGUUCAAGUACAACCUCUCAAAAAAUUAGUUUUCCAGGAGAUUAGACUAUUAAAACAACUGGUAUAGAGGAUUAAAAAUCGAAACUUUUAUUGAACAAAACCUCAUAACUCAAUGGGGAAUUCCAAAAGAAUCAACCAAAAAGGUUUAGCCUUCCAUGCGGAGGCAAAACAAAAGAAUUACAAAGAAGAAAAAGAAACUAAGAAAAUCCUAUGAAGCUCUCUCUUUUCUCCUUGUGUCCUUUUAUAGGCUUUUCUGUUCCAAGGAUCUUGGGAAAAUAUUAUAGUUUAUAUUUUGUUAACAAUUUCCAAGUUUCCAGAUUUCUUAUAUUUUGCAGAAAAUUUGCUUCCAAUUCUGUUUCUAAGAUAUUGUAGAUUUUAUUUUCUCUUUCUUCUCGGAAUUUGUUUCUUGUUUUGGUUCAAUAAAAAAUUUGGACUUUUAUAUAUUUGACCCAUUCACAAAGGUAGAUGCUUCUUCCGGAUAAUUUACUCUAAAAACACAAAAUUACCAAUAAUAAUAGUUAAGACCCAAAUAAACCCAAUUAUAAACUAUGAAUUUAUUUAUUAUUAUAGUCCAAUAAUCCAUAAUUAAAGUUAUUGAGUGUGAAUAAAUAUAUGCUCAUGAGUAAUACAUUUUUAUCUAUGUAUAUAAUUUGAUCAUCUAAAUAUAUGUAUCUUGGUUGGCUGGGUUUUAAUUGUACAAGUCAAUUUAGAUGGGAUUAUCAUUAAACAGAAUGAACUAAAAAAAAUUCUCAUUUAAAAUGGCGGCUUUUACCAUAACUGUAGUUUUAUAUCUUUCAAGAGGGUAUAAAAUGACGACUUUUUACCAUAAUUGCCGUUUUAUAUCUUUCAAAAAGAUCUAAAACGACGACUUUUACCAUAACCGCGGUUUUAGACUGAAUAUAACACAACGAUUAUAUAGCCGUUGUCUUUGCUUAAAGAUAAUAGACUACAUGUUGAAAGACAACGAUAGAAGAACCGUUAUUUUAAUACUAAAAUGACCGUCGUGAUUUAACUUUUUUGUAUCAGUAAUUAUAAAGUUUUUUUUAGAGUGGUGGUGAUAAACAUAUAUCGAUUUGAAAUUAAUAGAGUUAGAAAGCAAGAAAAAAAAAUACAUGAAAAAUGUUAAAUAAUGUCAUAGAAAUAGAAAUGGAAGAGAAGUGUAAAGAAAUUUAAAUAAAAAUUAGAUGUGAGAGUAAGUUAGUUUAUAUUUCCUAAGGUUUAAUGUAAUUACACCAAUGUUACCUUUUUUUUUCUAUGUUAUACUUUAACUUAUAAUAAUCCUUUCCAUUAUUAUAAACUUUUUAAAAAUUACAUAUUUUUCAAAUUAUGCACUAAUAAGACGCAUGGUGAAUAAUAAGCAGUGUAGAUUGUGUAAAUAUAUGAGCUUCCAUUUUAUUUAUUUUAGUUUGUGUGACAGAUGAACAUUAUUAGCAGGAAAAAGAAGAAUGAGACUGUCACAGUGAAGGUGGUUUUUGGAGUCUAGAGGAUCUUGUUGAGGACGAUGUUGGAACGUUCAGAUUUUUGGUCCUUAAGAUUGAUGAACUUGGAAGAAAAAGACCAAGAGAGGACGUCGUGCGUUUCAUAGCUCCAUUGAUAAGCCCCUGAGGUGGCAGAGAACCCAACGCUCACCCAGUCGUAAACUUCUUUCUCCAGCUCCACUGUGGUAGAGACGUUGUUGCUCUUUCCCGUAGAAGGGUUUGACAGAGAAACCGAGAAGACCUUCGUGGAGGAGUUAUAGGUGAUCCGAACCUCGGCGUUUUGUCCGUCGUAGUCGUGUACAUCCCAAGGCACGCUUUUGAUAUCGUUGUUGUUCACGUCGAUGCUAAUACGGCUGAGGAAGGUGUCGAACUCCACAGUCACAGUAUCGCCUUUGGAUUCGGGCUGGACGGGGACGAGAACAAAGUCAAGGCCAACGGCGGAAUUUGCUUGGCGGUGAGUGCGGAUAUUCAUUGUGAAGUUGGUGUCGAAGCUGGCGACGUUGCCGGUGGUGCUGUCCCUGAUUUGGAUGGGGGCGGAGUAGAAGGCUCUGCUCAUAGAGUCGUAUGAAUUAUAGGAUAGUUGUAAGUUGCCGUUGGAUGAGACGGUGGCAUCGCCUUGAAGGAUAAGGUUGGUUUUGUUGAACGCAUCGAUGAUGAAGGAGGUUUCGGUGGCUGAGUUUGCGUGGCUGAGAAGCGC